RNAcentral lists this long non-coding RNA (51145 nucleotides) under Oryza sativa (Asian cultivated rice). RNAcentral describes it as "long non-coding RNA (OSAT_LNC001204)". The stretch from base 3269 to 3474 matches the Rfam family "MIR812 microRNA precursor family". The record is from RNAcentral. Lineage: Eukaryota; Viridiplantae; Streptophyta; Magnoliopsida; Poales; Poaceae.
AUUUCCUCGAACACUUCGCCCUCCACCACCAUGGCCGCCGCCGCCUCCACCCUCGCCUCCCUCUCCGCCACCGCGGCCGCGGCCGCCGGCAAGCGCCUCCUCCUCUCCUCCCCCUCCCGCUCCCUCUCCCUCUCCCUCGCCUCCCGCGGCCGCAUCGCCGUCAUGCCCCACCUCCGCGCUGGCAUCCUCUCCGCCGCACCGAGGAGGGCGGUGUCGGCCUCGGCCCCGGCCGCGGCCACCAUCGCGGUCGGGGACAAGCUCCCCGACGCGACGCUCUCCUACUUCGACUCGCCCGACGGGGAGCUGAAGACGGUGACCGUGCGCGACCUCACCGCCGGGAAGAAGGUGGUCCUCUUCGCGGUCCCCGGCGCGUUCACCCCGACCUGCACGCAGAAGCACGUCCCGGGGUUCGUCGCCAAGGCCGGGGAGCUCCGCGCCAAGGGGGUCGACGCCGUGGCCUGCGUCUCCGUCAACGACGCGUUCGUGAUGCGGGCGUGGAAGGAGAGCCUCGGCGUCGGCGACGAGGUGCUCCUCCUCUCCGACGGCAACGGCGAGCUCGCCCGCGCCAUGGGCGUCGAGCUCGACCUCUCCGACAAGCCCGCCGGCCUCGGCGUGCGGUCCCGCCGCUACGCGCUCCUGGCGGAGGACGGCGUCGUCAAGGUGCUCAACCUCGAGGAGGGCGGCGCCUUCACCACCAGCAGCGCCGAGGAGAUGCUCAAGGCGCUCUGAAGCGUGAACAACUCAAGCCAUCCUCCACUUUUCAUCUCAAAUCUCCAUAGCUCGGUUCGUUGCCUACUUCUCUCAAGUGUUCGCUUCUUUUCCUGAAUAAUAAAUCAUGGCAACAAUGGUGGACCGUGCAGAGUAGUGUUGUCGUUUUGAUGUGUGAAGCUUCUAUAGCGAACAUAGUGUGCAAUUUUUAGGUAACAUAUAUGAGUCUUGGCCUUGCACUGUUUGUCAGGUAGUAACAACUUGGCACAGCUAUAGACUGUAGUAACAGAGUUCCUUUCAUGUUGAAUGGUGAGGCUGUGAUGUGUUCUAGAGCUGAAUAAACGUGCUCUGGUAAAUACUGUCACCAGAUCAGACUAUGGAGUAGUAGUAAGAUUUUGCUUGGUUAAUUGGGCAAUGGCUAUUUUUCAGGAUCGUUCAGUUGAGAUAAACAUGUUUUGCUGUUCAGAUGAGUUCGAAAUGCCGUUGUUUGUUCUUUUUUUAAUGCCGAAUAUAUGGUGAGAGAUUCAGCAAGCCAGGGGUCAGAUGCCCCUUGGCAUGAAACAAAGGCUCUUCUUGCAUUUGCUGACAGUAGUCACUAGUCAGAUCUUAUUUAUGUAUGGAUUUCUCAAAAUUUGCCCAUUUCACCAACCCUACUGAAAAGAACAGACACUGCCGAGUGUAACACAUGUUUUAGGCAUCUCGGGAAAAUUCCUCAGUAAUGCAGUGUAGUGCACUUUGGCGACUUUGUUAUAAUGCUUUGGGUGAACUCGUUGUUUACUUUGUUAGUUGCGUUCAUAGAGGUUUACUGUCGGUGAUAUGGGCCCGGGGGUAUCAUGUUUAGAGGCCCAGAGAUUGGACGGAGGAGGCUGCCCCCCAAUGCCACGUGGCCCUCCCCCGAGGGGAGUGAGGCCUGAGGUGGGGUGGCGGCCACUCCUUCCCAAAGACUAGUCGGAGGAGGUUGCCCCCCAAUGCCACGUGGCCCUCCCCCGAGGGGAGUGAGGCCCGAGGUGGGGUGGCGGCCACUCCCUCCCAAAGACUAGUCGGAGGAGGCUGCCCCCCAAUGCCACGUGGCCCUCCCCCAAGGGGAGUGAGGCCCGAGGUGGGGUGGCGGCCACUCCCUCCCAAAGACUAGUCGGAGGAGGCUGCCCCCCCAAUGCCACGUGGCCUUCCCCCAAGAGGGGUCGGGCCCGAGGUAGGGCGGCGGCCACUCCCUGGUCGAGACUAGAGGGGGAAGGCUGCCCCAGGCGCCACGUGGCCCUCCCCCGAGGGGGGAUCGGGCCCGAGGUCGGGCGGCGACCGCCCCCUCUCGUGACUAGGGGUCGGGCUCCCCCAACCCCCUCUCUAGGUCAUCACGUACGGUGGGUUAGGUGUCCGCCUAUAGGUGUCCACUUACCCGCAUUUAUGGCGACCCGAGCGGUCGCGCCACGCCGCAUUUAAUGUGCCGUGCAGUAUACUCAACCGGUCUGUGACCGGUCGAAUCACCGAUGAGACUGGGUAGUGCGCCUGUGCGCUGCUCGUGUGUCAGGCGGCGUGCAGCCUAACAUGUCCUAUCAAAUAAUGAUGGUGAGAGGUUCUCAUCCUCUUAUCCCAGCCGGAGUCGGUCCUCCCGCCCUGGUCAAAGCUAGGCUCCCGUUUCCCGGUGUAAUAGGAGCCCGGAAGUCUUCACCCAUUAAAAGCAGCUGACAUGGGCGCCCCUCGUGUCAGGCGGCAAGAUUUGACAGGCCCCAUCAUCAAGAUGACGUGCGCUUGCUUCCCAAGUCAAGAGAUAAGACAGGCAUUUAAUGCAAAACACUUCUUUACCGGAGCUAGGUUUUUGGGCCCAUGUGGUAACCCCUUGAGGUAUGAAAGGAGAUCCAGGCCUAGUAAAAGGGGGAGGGAUCCGGGACGAUCCAUUUUGAUGCUCUAGAGCAGUCUCUAGCCCCGAAUGAUCAACACCACAUUUUACUUCAACAAGAGGAUCUUGUAAUCCUUCACUUAAGGAGCAUAGCACAGGAGUAGGGUAUUACGCUUCUUAGCGGCCCGAACCUGUAUAAAUCCCUUGUGUCUCUUUUGCCUCGAAAACCUCGGAUCUCACCCGCUGCCCCCGGCCAAACCAAAAAAGGGGAUCUCACGAUCUCCCGCUAGAGAGGAUCACUCCUCGACAUUUACAUUAGCAUGCCGUGAUUCAGGCCUCCGUGUAGACUACUUCUGCAUUCUUUUCUCCACUUCAAUUGAUGAAACGAAAAAAAAUCCUAUUUAUCUCUUUAGUUAUUGUCUGUCCGAAUUACCCUCCUCAACUUCAAUACAGGACAUUAUACCACCAAACUUCUUAAACCUAAUGAACUACCCUUUGAUCCCAGUCCAUGUAAUUUUAGCCCUACCUGGUAGACACUCGACAGUUCAGUUAGCAAGGUUAUAAAGAUUUCAAAAAAGGUAUAGUUGAUCCCACUCGUUAGUCUCUUAUUCCUCUUAAUUCUCUCUCAACUCCCCCCUCUCCCCCUCAUGGAGGUGUCCCUAGAGUUUAGUGCCCUAGAACCCAUGGCAGGGUUGGAGUACAGAGGUACUCCCUCCGUCCAAAAAAAAAAAGACAAACCCUGGGUUUCCGUGUCCAACUUUGACUAUCCGUCUUAUAUGAAUUUUUUUUUAUAAUUCGUAUUUUUAUUGUUGUUAGAUGAUAAAACAUGAUUAAUAUUUUAUGCGUGACUUAUCUUUUUAAUUUUUUUUAUAAUUUUUUUAAAUAAGACGGACGGUCAAACGUUGGGCACGGAAACCAGGGUUUGUCUUUUUUUUUGGACGGAGGGAGUAGCUGUGUAGCUCGGUGUCGUUGAUCCCUGUGGACGAGCUGAAGCCCCAAGCAGUGGCACUUGUGUCAACAUCAAUCCUGUCGGAGGAGGAGCUUCAUGGCGGUGGUGGCGCAUGAAUGGGGGUGGUUCUAGGAGAGACUGCUUUAGGAGGGGAGCGUAGUUAGGUGGUGCCGACAUCUACAUGUGAGGAUGGAUGAGGGGAGCGCAAACGCCGGCAUUGCCGAGGAGGAAGGGGAGGCGAGGCUGAUGGGAGAAGAGGUUGCACAUCGGAGUACGAAGAAGAAAGCAGAGAGGAGGAAGAAGACUAGGAAGAACCGAAGGGGCGGACAGGUGUGCCCAUUGUCAUUAGGGUACCACAAUACCUUGGGAGUACUGAAGCCACCCUGGAGUAGGCGGUCGAUGGGUGGGGCUGUUCAUCCAUGGGUUGAAAGAAACCUGCCUAACCGGCCGUAUUCAUUUUUUCUCGUACCAUAUGAUUAUGAAGUGUGUUAAUGUGUUAUUGGUACCUAGACGCUGUUCUAGAAGACAAUGACAUCGAUGCUCAUCCGUGCGUUUUGAUGUAAACCCGUGCUUUUCUUCAGCUAAUUUUUUCUUCGCUGCCUUCGCUGCACAAAGGCAGCCAGGACAUGGGCCUUCAUGGGCACGAAAUUGGCGCCCUUUCAUCCCUGGAAGACAAAGUAGACUUAUUCCUUUAUCCAGCAGCAAUACGAAAGCCCAUUAAAAGAUCAGCCCAAAGAAGCCCACACGAACAGGUAUAGGUGCAAUGCAAUCCACCUCAACCCUAAUCCCCAUCCAUUUCCUGCCGCCGCACUCCUGUUGCGCAAUCGCGUGAGUAAACAACAGGUAGCGACCGCCCAACGCCGCUCCUCGCGCGGUCGCGCCCAACGCUGCGCCGCCCAUUAGGCCCUUUACAGUGCAACACCGUGGACCGGUGCUCCAGCUCGACACGUCGGAUUCGAGCUUGCGUGGCGCUAGGGUCCGCGCCCCAGCAGAGGACCUCGCUCCCGCGGAGGGAAGUGCGAUUACUCCCUGCCGCGAGCCCACGCGAGGCGAGGAAACGGCGGCUUUUCUGCGCUGUGGAGCGCGUUGCCCCGCCCACUCGUGCCCUCGCGGCAACAAAUCAACAAAUCGCAGCAGCCGUCCUCUUGCUUAUGCUCCUCCUCCUCGCAGCGGCGGCGGCGGCGGCGGCGGCUGUCGCAUGAGCAGGUGGCGGCCGGUGCCGCGGGGUCCGGAGUCGUGGGAGGAGCAAGCGGCGUGGGCGGCACGGCUCCUCCAGCGGCUCCCAACCUAGUGCUCACCUCGCCCGCUUCCUCCUCGCCGCCCGUUCUUGAGCUGCCACCGCCACGCACGCCGAGCCCGUCGACGCCGUGCUCCGUCGUCUUGGCCAGGAGGGGCCAGUGAGCUCUCGCGCCGCCGCCGCCGCCGCCCUCCGCGCCCUCGUCUUCAGCCAGAACUGGAGGGGCCGUCCUUCGCUGCCGCUCGGCCCGGAGGAGAGGAGAGCCAGCGCCGGCGGAGGGAGGAGGGGAGAGAGCCGGUGUUGAGACUGAGUAGUAGUUGGGGGAUUUGGAUAAAGUAGUAUUUGUGGGUGAAGAUUUACAUUGUUCUCUCGAUUUUAGGGUGGUUACUGUAAAAUUUGGACUCCUUUGCAAAUUGAUAAACACAUGAGGGCUGAAAUGGAAAGUUACAGGGGCUGAAAUGGAAAAGUAAGUCACUCAUGAGGCUAUUUGCACCGUGGGAAUAAAAAAACUUGAAUCCGGGUCUUCAGCCUAUGUGGAAUGGGAUGAGGGAACACUGCACUGUGAAAAGCCUUAGUUCCUUGCGCCCAGCGCCGCACCGUGUUGCUGUGCCCUCAGCCUCGGCGCACAUUCUCCUCUCCUAUUCCUCCCGAGUUGAAGCCUGAAAGGGUAGCCUCAUACCCUAAAAAAAGAGAAUGUUCCCGUGAGUCCAAGACUGACGCCUUUUGUUGAUUCCGGGCCCUUAGAUGCAUGAUCAGAUGCGUGAUGGUUGAGAUUGUCCCCAACGUGCAGGUCAAGCACAGCUCCAACCCUCUUCGCUGCUUCGUCAUUGCCAUCAACAAGCUUCGUUGUGUUGUCCACCAUCGUUCUCUUUGCUGUUGUGCAUCCAACGUGCGGGGCCCCGAUCGGGUUCCGAGGACCCGCUAGGGUGAGGGUGGGGGCGGGAGAUUUCGCCCUAAACUCCCGAACUCCUGGUCAGGGCCGGGGGUGGGGCGAAGAAUGCGGGGACAGGGCCGGGGGCAUUCUACCUCCACCAGGCCCCGACUCAUCCCGUUGCCAUCCUAUUCACGUGUCGCUAUCGUCCUCACCGCUCACCCCAUUGCCAUCCUAUUCACGCGUCGCUGAUCGUCCUCACCGCUCAGUCUCUUACAUGCAAAUGAGGUGGAUGCUGCAAUCGGGAACUUAGUCGAGUCGCUAGAUGUGGAGAAGGAAGAUCGUGAGAUUAGGAAUUCGUGGAUUGGGGCAUGGGAAUAUGUUGUAAUGGUUCUUUUUUGAACCCCCAAAUCCCAAAUUGGGAUCGAUGUGUGGAUACCAUAGGUGAUGCUUACCAACCUUCAGUUUGGAGGUAGUCUUUAAAAAAGUUUCGAGGUGGAUAGCACAAUGUCGUCUCGUCUACAUGCACUCUUUGCAAUCCAUAUGGUGAACAAUGCCGUCGUUUAACUGAAGUUUCAAACCAUUGACACGACAGUUGAAAGUAACUUCAAUAAUUUCCACCAUUAGCAACCAGCACCGCCGAAGAUGUACUAUUCGCCGCUAAUUGCCUUCCAAGAAGCCAUUGUUAACGUGAUGAGCUCUACGUUUUGGCAAACUUCAGAAACCAAAACAGUGAAGCGUUGGUAGUUAUCCACUACGGAUCCGCUUUGGAUGAGCUUAUCCUGUACUUCGAAAGGCCAUAUAUAUAGCCACAUCACAGAUUUCCCCAAUGUACAUAUCACGGAAAACAUUCAGUAUUUCUGAUCACUGGACCAUCCAGACCAGUUAGUUUUGCGUGCCAUUUCAAGACUAGUAUGACGAACCUAAGUCUGCAGGCCAGCAAGCACCCACUGCAGCAAAACUGGUUCACCACGUUUGUCCCUUCCAAUGAGAAUUUUUUUUAUUUAUAAUUUUUUUUAUUAAAAGUUUUACAAAAAUAAUUUUCCAUUUUGAAAAUUGACGGAAAUAGUCGCCUACCGCCCUCUGGGAAAAAUCGCCCUCCCAGAGGGCGGCGAAAAUGACGUGGCAGACGGCCGUUCGCUCUCGGGCGACGGCCGUCAACGAAAUUUGCAGGCGGCCCCCUUGCCGCCCUCCGCGAGGGCGAUUUUGUACUGUGCGGGGGGCCGCCUGCAAAUGGGCGGCGAGGGGGGGCAUGGAAAUUUGCAGGCGGCCCCCUUGCCGCCCUCCGCGAGGGCGAUUUUGCACUGUGCGGGGGCCCGCCUGCAAAUGGGCGGCGAGGGGGCAUGGAAUUUUGCAGGCGGCCCCCUUGCCGCCCUGGGGGAGGGCGAUUUUGUACUGUGCUCUAUAUUUUUUUUAUAUAAAUAUCAAUAGUUAUCAAAUCUUUUUAUAUUGAAAACUAUACAAGAUUAAAAUCUCCAAGAUUGGUAAAAUACAAUUUUAUUAUUUUUUAGGGCAUAUUUGGAAUGUUACCGUACAAAUAUUUUGUUAAUGCCAAAAUAUAAGCAAGUUUUGGCACUACCAAAUAUUUGGUAAGGUAAAAUUGCAUUUGAUCAUAUUUGGUUUGCUGCCAAAAUGUAAAAUUGUAGUGAAGAAUGUUGUACAUAAUCUCAAUUCUAGAUUACGUAUUACCAAUUAAUAGGCUUCCAUUUUCGUGUGUGGUGUGGUAGUGGGAAAGAAGAUAUGAAGAGGUUGCCUUCAGAUUGUCAAUUAUAUAGCGUCGUUUUCACUGCAAUAUAUGUGAACUCAAUGAGAUACAUUAUUCAUUAGAUGUGACAAGACGAUCACGCGUGGGCGUGAUUCACUUUAUGUCAACAGGCAGCGCCGAAAGUUGAUAGUGAUAACUCGAGCUGCCGCUUUUCAUGUGUGCUGUUGUGGACUGUGCGCGCUACUGGAUAUGGCACUACCGUGAAGCGCCGAAAGUGUGUUGUUGUGAGCAUAAGUUGUUCAAGCACCAUACGAAUGAAAAGAACUACGUAGACGAGACAAACACAAGUAGUACUGCAGUAGUAAUAGCAAAAGUAGUACUGCUUUACAAGUUUGUAAGCCAAAAGAAACGGUCACAUAAGGACUGAAGAGGUAGAACACUACUGACGAGGCCUCUUACCCCUGUCCCUCCUACCCUGCGCCCUAAUGUGCCCCUGGGAGUACGUGAGUCGGUCCGGGGGUACGGCACGGCCAACCCGUCCUGCCUGUACAGGUGUGACCUCUGGCUGCUCCUGAGUGUGCGCCUCUGGAGCUCCUCCAAGCUGAGAGGAGCCUAGUACGUCCUGGUGGUCUGCACCGUGCAAGUCGUCGUCGUAGAACUGGCUAGUAGGACCAGUCCUACCGGCGUGAGACGAAGAGGCCCCAGUACCGAAGAUCCCGGCUGCAAAUCCUGCUGGACAAGGACCAUCAGUUUCGUAUAGGUAUUUAACAGUAUUAAUAAAAAGUAAAGUACCGUGUGGGCGAGGGAUCGACGCUCCGUGAGAGGAAGAGCUGGCGAACGCGCCUGAAGAGGUGGCGAACGCCCCUGCGGAGCUCGCGGAAGCGCCGGUCGUGCCUGCGAACGCGCUCGAAGGCAUACGAGGUCCUGCGAUGAGGAAACGUGCAGUUAAAACAUGGUGACACAUUCGUGCAAAAGCUGAAACAAAAAUGAACUAAUAUCUGGGCUGAACUGUACCGUGCGAAACCGGUGCUGUAGGUCGCACUGCUCCGAAGCUAGGGGCGCUCGAAGACAAACGAGGUCCUGCUCCGACGAUAGGACCGCGAGGCCGUGGGUGUACCGGACCAGCUGGAGGUACGACGUCCACGGCGCUGCGACAGGAGAAGACGCGCAUGACCGCACGCAUCUUCUCCUGCAUCCGGUCGAAGGUCGACCUCUGCUCAACGUCAGUCAAGUGCAAACCUCUGUUCAACCUCACCUGGACUGCGGUGAUAUCGGCACUGAUAUCCCGUGCCGCAUCAGCCUAUGCAAGAUGGAAAUAAAAAAUUCAGUAGUUGUCCUAUAUUAUGCAAGAUAAAUGACAUAAUUGUUGGAAGUAAUACAAAUUGGACGUACCGCCACGAAGUAGUCUCGGUCACGGUGCGUGGGAUACGCGUCCGUGACAGCGGCAACGUGCGGCUCUGGGGCGUCUGGAGUGAAGGUCACACGCGCACGAGUGCGAGGAAGGUACCAGCGAAGGUCACACUUGCUGCAGCGUAAAGUCCUCCCACCUGCUUCUGACUCAUCCAUAUCAUUUCUGAUGCGUCUAGUUUGGCGUCGACCCUUUUUCACCCUAAACUUAGAUGGAUCUGGAAUAUAAAAAACUUGGGCACUCAGCGUUGUGUAAGAUCCUGAGAUCCCGAACCCAUAUAUCUCCUCACUCCAUGUAUGAAAGAUUGCUUCUUUCCUGAAAUAAUUUGAGACGUACACAUUGGGAGAUAUGCCACAAUCACCGGCAGCAGCAAGAACGUGUGAGCAAGGAAGGUGAUGAAGCUUCGGCUUCAUACAACUGCAGGUACAUCCACCAUCCGCCUUCAAGACACAUUCCUGCACGGCUUGCUUGCGAUAGAUACCACGCCUGCUCCUAUCAACACACAUUAUUUCAUACCGAUGCACUUGUGUGCCUUGAGCAACAACUCUAUGUCUCCGUGCCUUUUUGAUUUUAUCUUCCAUGUACUUUGUCACUACGUUGCCAAACACUAUGUUGUUAUCGGCCAUGGACGGACCAAUUUUCUUGUAUCGAUCCCUAAAGUAGGCUUGCGUGCCGUGAAGGAUGAAUUCAACAAUAGCAACCAAUGGAAGUACCCGAACUCCUCGCAUUACCCAGUUGUACACCUCUGCCAAAUUGGUUGUCAUUAUGCCAUACCGAGAUCCAUCGGUGUCGAACAAUAGAGCCCACUUCUCCUUAGGCUCAUUCUCAAUCCACUGAGAGAAAUUUCUGAUGGCCGACCCUGACCUCCUUCUCAUUGUUGGUGGGUCAUCAUGUAAUGCACCAAGAGGUAUGGGAGGCUCGUCACCUUCAACUUGUGGUCUGCGAGAUUGCUCAUCUGUUUGCUUCGUUGUCAACUCAUCCAACUUGUCCCACAACUCAUUAAAUUUCUUCUCUUGGUUCUGUGCACAGAGCCUCUUAAAGAGCUCCAUAAGAUGCUUGUUCUUGAAUUGCUUGUAGAAAUUUGCACCCAUGUGACGCAUGCACCACCGACUCCGAACAUCAGGCCACUUAGCUGGAAGUCCCUUCUCAUCCCAACCGUUCUGCAAGUAGUCAAUAGCCCGCAACAUACCCGCAUGACGAUCAUGUAUAAGGCAAACGUUGGGCCUCAUACGCACCACUGCAAUGUGCACUCUCUCUAGGAACCAGUACCAGCUUUCAGUGUUCUCACUCUCUACAAAUGCAAAAGCCAUAGGUAGAACCUGGUUGUUCCUAUCACACCCAAUUGCUGUCAAUAUCUGACCUCGGUAUUUACCUGUCAUAAAAGUUCCAUCUAUGCAUAGAACAGGUCGACAAUGCACAAAAGCAUUGAUGCAAGCACCCAAUGAGAAAAAGGCUCUUUGCAGCACACUCUUUUGUUCUAUCUUCAACCGAUGUAAAUGUAUGUAGGUCAUAGUAAGUAUUAUUAUUCCUCUGGGCAAUGGUGGCUAACAAACGAGGCAAAUUAUCAUAAGAAGCUUCAAAUGUGCCAUACCUCAUCUCAAUGAUCUUUUGUUUGGCUCUCCAGGCCUUUGCAUAGCUUAUGGUGUACUUGAAUUUGUUCUCGAUGUGCCUAAUAAUUGAUUUUGGUUCAAAGCCAAUGUUACCAACAACACUGCUGUACAUCUCACUUGCCACAAAAGCUGAAGUGAUGUUUCGGUGAUACUUCUCCACCCCUUGUAAGUAGCACUUGUGCUCGGUCACAAUGCUAACUUUCCAAUAAUCAUUCCAUUUACCCUUAUAUGCAUGGACACGCCACGGACAAUCUUCCUUCAUGCACCUCACUUCAUACACAUAAUUUGUUGACUUGACCACCCUAAACUCUCUCUGCAAUGAAACUGCCCAAUGCUUCACCGCCUCCUUCAUCUCAUCCUUAUGAGCAUACCUUGCACCCUCAAUUACCUCGUACUCCUUAUACUCCCAGGGUACAUGAUCACCCUCUGAUAUAACAAGACCAGAGAAGUCCUCAUUUGCCCAAUCAGUGGCCAUUACAUCACCUUCCUCAUCGGAUGAUGCGUCGUCCUCCGCUUGCUCAUUAUCCGAAUCUUCCCUCUCCAUUUCAUCAACAAUUAUACCGACUCUCUCCCCCUCAUCCGCCAUGCCCAUGGCCUGCUCCUCCCUUGGUUGAUUUUCCUCAUUUUGCAUCGAUGGUCCAACAACAUCCCCUGCAUUGCUAGGACCCUCCACAUCUUCGGUUUGCAUUGAAACAUUUGUAUCUUUCUCUUGUACCGACACAAAUAUAACGAGGGGCCAUGACCGUUCAAAAGCCAUUUCCACAUACCGUCUCCAAGCAGCAGUGCUGUCCAUCGGCAUUAGUUCCCAAAAAUAACCUUCUAUUGCACGACUCACUACAACAGAUACUGACAUUGUGUAGACUUCUUGGUCUAUUCUAAAUCCUCUCAACAACCAACUAUAAAUUGACUGAAAUGUUCUCUCCGCAGGCCUAUCGAUGCCCUUAGAUGUCAUUACAAAAUCUGACAGAUCAACACCAUCUGGACCAAAUCUAAUAUUUCCUUCACCGUGAACUAUCUGAAAUGUGACCUUACUUGACAUUGUGCCUGAUGAAAACAAUAACUGCGUUAACCUCGCAUUUCUGUACUACGCCCUAAGUUACAUUCUCUACAAUAUUGUUCUCUAAAUUUCUAAAAGUAGGUUACAUUCUCCAGAUCAAACUAAACUACAUCUUACAAUUAACACUACUGUCUAUGUCUCAAUUCAUACUAUUAUAUUCUAUGCUCUGGAUCUACACAUAUGUGCUGUGUGCUACAGAUCUGCUAAAAUAUAUGGAACUAAAACUAAAACGCAACAUAUGUACUCAAACGUAAUAUAUUAGUACAAAUGCAAAAGAUGUAUGGGAGCAUACCUGUGAUGAAGUGAGCGAACCAGCAGGGCUUCGCCGCUCCCCUUCUGCUGCCCUCCCCUCUCUCUCUCUUUCGUUUUUUUUGGAUUUUUAGUGAAUAUAAUGAAAUUUCAUAGGGGAGGGGCUGGGCUUUAUAGGGGGGAGGCAAAAAUCGCCCUCCCCCAGGGCGGCAAGGGGGCCGCCUGCAAAAUUCCAUGCCCCCUCGCCGCCCAUUUGCAGGCGGGCCCCCGCACAGUGCAAAAUCGCCCUCGCGGAGGGCGGCAAGGGGGCCGCCUGCAAAUUUCCAUGCCCCCCCUCGCCGCCCAUUUGCAGGCGGCCCCCCCGCACAGUACAAAAUCGCCCUCGCGGAGGCGGCAAGGGGGCCGCCUGCAAAUUUCGUUGACGGCCGUCGCCCGAGAGCGAACGGCCGUCUGCCACGUCAUUUUCGCCGCCCUCUGGAGGGCGAUUUUUAAAAAUCGCCCUCCCAGAGGGCGGUAGGCGACUAUUUCCGUCAAUUUUCAAAAUGGAAAAUUAUUUUUGUAAAACUUUUAAUAAGAAAAAUUAUAAAUAAAAAAAAUUCUUCCAAUGACGGGUUGGUAGUCUCUUAUAUAUAUUUUUUUUUCGCCAGGACAGCGGCAAAGGAAACGCCUGACCAAUUAUAUUAAGAAAAAUAAGAAGAUUUACAUAAAACAACCAGCAUGGUUGUUGUGGACACAAACAGGGUUUCCCAAACUGCCGGGGCCGGGGUUACCGCACCCCGACGGUAAGCACGGUUAUCGUGCGGUAACCACGUUAACCGUGAAAAACCGUACAAAAUUUAUCAAAAAUUCAAAUUAUUUUUUAAAUUUAUUUGAAUUUAAGGAGGUUACCGCAGUAUUUAUAUUACCGUACCCCCACGGUAAGCCCGGUAACUGGCGGUAAGGUAAACCCUUUACAUAACCCAACCCUAGAAUAGGAAAAGGUUUUUUACCGGUAAACGCCUAAUUACAUGACACAACUAGGAUAACAUAUGUCUUAUCUCUCUUCGUUCGUGAUGCCUCCAAAGCCAGCAGCUCAAUGUUAUUUACAAAUGUAUUUUUUUUACUCGGCCUUUACAUCCAAUCGACUAUAUAAAGCUAUUUAAAUUGAGAAUUUAGUCUCGCAAAUAAUCCAAUUUAAAAUUCGCUCCUAACAUGAUACCUCCAAAGCCAGCAGCUCGUCAUGGCCACCAUUCUUCCGAUAUGCACUGGAAGACCUCGAUGGCGAUCUUACUGGCUCCUUCGAAGAUCCCGGUGUUUCUGUCGCGAAUUAAAUCAUCCAAGUAAUCAAGAUAGUUUGUACGUCUAAGAUUUUCUACUGUGAUGUUUUGUAUGGCAGCCUGAGAAGAGUGCCACCAAGUUUCCAUGUCAGUUGACAUAUCCGGGCUCCGAAUGAAAUGUAAUCGGGUGCAGAUCCUAUCCCACACUUGUCUUGUGAAAGCACAGGCCAUGAAGAGGUGAUGGCAAGUCGUUGGCUAAACACCACAAAGAGAACAGACUUGUUCUUGAGGCCAACCUCGCCGUGCCAAAUUCUCCGCCGUCAAACAGCUCCUGCCGUCCCGCGUAGUACAAGAUACUCCUCCUUAAAAAAAAAAUAUAUGACUCCGUUAAUUUUUCGCAUAACGUUUGAUAUGUUCUAUUAUCAAAGAAAAUAUAGUAUUAACUUAUAGUUUCAUAUAUUUAUAUUAAAUUUUUAAAUAAGACGAAUGAUCAAACAUUAUGAGAAAUAUCAAUAACAAUAUACUAAAUUUUUGAAUAAGAUAAAUGAUCAAAUAUUAUGAAAAAAAACAAUUAUGCCAUUCAUUUUGAAAGGAGAUGUUACAUAAAGAACUUUCAUUUCACUUCUUAGGUACCUUGACCUUCCAAAGGAAAAUUAGCACCGAUGGAGAGAGUUUUAUCAAUGAAAAACAUUGGUAGUCUCUAUGAGAGUAUGAUCAUUGUUUUUAAUUAUUUAUUUGUAAUAGUAUAAUAUGUGAAUAUGUUUUCAUGAUAAAUCUACUAAUACCAUUUUCACAUAUCAAAUAUUUUUUGGUUGCAUUUUACUAGCACUAGGUUCACAUUUUGAAUUUUGUCUCAAUUUUUUUUUCGAAAUUUGACCACACUCAUUCUAAAACACUAUUCAAGUAUAAGCAUUUCUUGCCUUCCAAAUUUAUACACGGCCAUUUGCCCUAUACUACACUACUACCAAACACCUCUCGUUUAAUUAUUAUCCAAUUUUACCCUCACCAUCCUCCUACAUCUAAUUACAUCAUAUUUAAAACUAAAAGGGAUAUAUCACAGUUUUCUUUUCAUAAAUUUAGCCUCCACUAAACAACAUUCCGCAACAGAUCAGGGAAUACUUUUGGUUUGACAACACGACGAGUAAGAAAUUACCACGGCACCACUACGACGACGCAUCCCACUGUACCACUCGAGGACCGACCAGACCAUCUUGCGUGCGGAUUUCUCACCUCCCUGCAGACUGCAGUGAAGGACAAGAUCUUCACGGCUGCAGAGCGGGUACCACCCAAAUCACAGGAACCGUACAUCUGCCUCAUAUCAGUUACCCAUAGCAUAGCUUAUUAAGAAAUACAAAUUAAUUUAUUGUUAAAAUUGUUGUAUAUUUUUUUUCCGUAGUAACUUAAAAGCCGAUAUUAAAAAUAUCUUAAAAUUAACUUUAAAAAAAUUAAAUUUUAGUUUUAACUUUAGUUUAUUAGGUCAACCAAUAGGGCGAUCGACCAAAAAAGAGAAGCCACUCUGCUCUGGCAUUUUGCCUGCUGGAUCGUCGCUCCCGGCCAUAACGGGCAAACGGACAGGGCUUACUACAAAAGCAUUUCAAUUUUGAAGCGAGGGAAGCAAGCAAGCAAAAGGAUGGCACUCAUCCCGUCCACUCAGAUUCAAUCCAUGCAUGACACCGUCGUAGCUUUCAAAUAUGAGCUCGCGGUUACCUAGUUAAUUAAAAUCAACUUGUAUUAAUGUUGACGCCCUUCGAUCAUUUAGCAUAUACGUACUAUACAUGUAUCUAAGAUAGGUAAGGUACAACAUAUACUGUGCAUAACCAGUGGCGGAGACAGGAUAAAGUUAUAGCGGGGGCUAAACUAAAAUGACCAAGAACAACUAAGAGAGAUUUAGGGUUGGGUUAGGAUUUUUUAGCCUUUUUAGUCUUUUGGGCCUUCUAACAACCUCAAACAAAGUCUAUAUUAGCCCCUCAUCUAUAAAUAUAUGGAUUAGAAUUUUAGAGGGUAGGGGGGUUUCAAGACCCCCCGCCCCCACGCUGUCUCUGCCCCUGUGCACAACGCUUUGGAGAAGUUGCAACAUGCACAAAACCCAUUGAAGUUUGGUUUCAUGGUAUGAAGUAUGCCUGUUCAAAUAUGGCUUGUUUUUGGUUGCAAUGAUGAUGAAGUUACUAAGGCUGGGUUUAGUAAUCUCUCUUUCCAUCUUCCACUCACCAGUCUUUCAUAAGCACACUUUUACUAAAUUACUAAACGAUGUAUUUUUAAUAUAAAAAUUAUAUAGGAAAGUUGUUUUUAAAAAAUUAUAUUAAAAUUUUUAAGUUUCUAUAGCUAAUAUUUAAUUAAUCAUGCGCUAAUGUGUCACCUGUUUUCCGUGUUAGUGAGAAAAGGUUCCAAAACCUUUAGAUUCUAACGCAUCCUAAGGGUUUCAAUGGUGCAAAAGAAAAGACCUCCUACAACAUAUGUAACAAGAUCAUCCAAAGGGUUGAGUCUUCUUAGCUACUCCCUCCGUCCCAAUAUACUACAACCUACCCAUAUAAAACAAAUAAUAGCCAAAUAUAAUUAAUAGCCAAAUAUACCUAAUUAAAUCUGAUAUAUAUUUGCUAGAUUAUUUCUAUAAGAAAGUGUUUGCUAGAAAUUUGCUAAAAUCGACAAAUAAAGGCAAGUGCGGCGGCCUCGCGCUGAAGGUGCUUGGAUGGUGAUGCCUGCUAUUAAUGGUAGGGACGUAAUCAUAAUAGUGGGCCGACGAUUUCAAGCGAAAACCCAGUCUUUUUGAGGAGCGGCAGUCCCGAUGCUUUUGGGCGGCGUAGUCCCCCCCUCCCACCCCCUCCCGGGGGUGGGGGCUUUCGUGGUAUCUCUCAUUCUUUCUCUAGUGGAAUCCUUCAGGUGAAAAAUCACAUCCUAGUUUCCUAAUGGUGAGCGACGACGGCAUCAUCUGCGUCUCUCGUUCUCUUCAUGGUGGAAUUCUUUGGUCGAAAACCACAUCCUAAUUUUCCAAAAGAGGUGACGACAGUGUCACAACCUUCGUGGAGGCGUUGUUUGAAGGUUCGUUUCUAUCAAACUCUUCUCCAAAUGGAUUGUUCUCUUAGGACGACACCAUAGCCAUCACAAGAAAACCAUGCUGGUGGGAGAUCAGAUCUAUUCUUAUCUUUCACCAUAUCCCCCUCCACCCAAAGGCAUGAAUGGAUUUUCAUUAGCAGUGGGUGCUUGUGUUGUAGGUGCAUGUGCAACAUAGUUUGUUACUUUUGUUUUUCUUGAUUAUACCCUACCAGUGCUUUGGUCUUUUUUUCUCACUAUAUUGAUAUGAAACCUCGUACUAUCACACGUGAAUUGUUUUAGAAAAAGGUAACUACAAUACAAUAAUAUCUUUGUUUUCAAGACUACUCCAUUAUUGUAGUUUCAAAUUUAAUCACACAAAGUUUACAUACAUAAAACAUAUCAAAACACAAUAAUGAAAUUUUGGAGGGUUCGAAUCAUGAGGUAAAAUUUCUAUUAGGUCCGCCAGGAUGAAUCGUAUAUAUUAUAAGUAAGAGAUACGAUAGAAAUAUGUUAGAUCAAUAUAUGAAAGGCACGUUAGUAACAUUGUACCAAUCUUGUUUCGAACACAUUUGAAAUAUAGCAUAGGAAAUAUUUCGUUCUGGUCAAAUCCUGUAGUUGUAGUUCUUAAACACAAGUUACGUCAUGAGUACAGCCAUAUCAACCACCCAUAUCAAUAAAUCCAACUAAUACUAUAAAUGCCAUAAAAAUGCAAUUAAAUAUGCAUAAGAUGAAUCUAUAUCUCAAUUACUCAAUACUAGAAUCAGACUAGCAUUAAAUGACCAUAUUAACCAUAUCAAAUCUGGUGGAUACAAAUUCAAUAAAUAGAGUAAUAUCACGAGCAAAUCCUCAAUAAAUGAUAUCAAAGCUCUAACACAUUUAUACAUUUAAAACCCUCGUAUCUCAAUUACUCAAAAUUGCAAUCGAAUUUAAUAGGCGCAUUCACACAGGUAGAAAAUCAUCUGUCCACAUUUGCAUCAUCACACUUCGAAAUCACAAAACCCCCAACCCAACCCACAACCACCCCAUCUCACUGACCUGCGGGCCCCAUGAGCCAGACAGAGCCACUUACAGCUGGGCCCCACCAUCCCCUCCCCUCCCGCUUGAGCCUAUCCUACCCAGUGCUACAGCCGACGGAAGCCGCCACUCUCUCCGCCUAUUUAAUCCCCACUCCUCGCCGCCUCCGAGCUCCACCGCCACCGCCACCUCCUCCUCGCCGCCGGCCAGCCACCGCCGCCGCCGCAUUCCGCGCCUAGCGUGUUCUCGCUUCUUCGUGGUCUCAGCAUUUGCCCCGAGAAUGGCGGCGGCGGGGGCGGUGUUGCCGGAGCAGAUCGCGGCGAUGUGGGAGCAGGUGAAGGCGCCGGUGGUGGUGCCGCUGCUGCGGCUGUCCGUGGCGGCGUGCCUCGCCAUGUCCGUGAUGCUGUUCGUGGAGAAGGUGUACAUGUCGGUGGUCCUCGUCGGCGUCCACCUGUUCGGCCGCCGCCCCGACCGCCGCUACCGGUGCGACCCCAUCGUCGCCGCCGGCGCCGACAAUGACGACCCCGAGCUCGCCGACGCCAACGCCGCCUUCCCCAUGGUCCUCAUCCAGAUCCCCAUGUACAACGAGCGCGAGGUAACCAAAAUUAUUCAAAUCAAUCCGCCAUGCAUGCAAUGCAAACUCAAAUAAAAAAACCAAAAAAAAAGGAAAAAAAAAGGGCACUAAAAAGUUUUUUGGGUUUAUUUUUUGUUUUUUUUUUGGGGUGGCAGGUGUACAAGCUGUCGAUCGGGGCAGCGUGCGGGCUAUCGUGGCCGUCGGAUCGGGUGAUCGUGCAGGUGCUCGACGACUCCACUGACCCCGUCAUCAAGGUGAGAGCCAGCGUUUUUUUUUCCUUUUUCACUUCAUUUAAUUACAGCGCUAUCUGUCCCCGCGUGUCAGUGACACACCAGUGGCGUUGGUCUGGUCCAAGGAGUGAAAUUAAUUGCGGCUGUCUGUCACUGACAGUCGCCGCUGCGUGGUGGGGCCACACCAUGCCGGCAUGAGGCGCGUCGUAUUCUUCAAAAUUUUUUCAUCGCUAAGAGCUUUCAAACUUUUUUCAUCACGAGAGCUUUCGAAUUUUUCACACGGGGAAAAACGUAUUGUAGGUACAAACAAAUUAGAGGCCAUGUCUCUGUUGUCGUAGUCGCAAGAACAAGCGAGUCUACUUUCACUGAGGAAUUUUUGGCUGGCUGUAUUAUUUUAACCCCGAGAAAAAACUUGGAUUUUUUUUUGAGGAAAAUAUUGGAAGUGUUCUUCUUUUCUUGGCCUAGCUAGGGACAGGGAGGGAGUGACGUGAUGCAUCAUGCAGCGAAUUUAUAUUUUUCUGGUACUAGUACUCCAUUUUACACGAAAGUUCAUGGGCAACUCGACUGGCUAGCUCCUUGUCCCACCGCACGACUCCCGAGGUGGAACAAUCUGAACCAUACCGCAUUUAACUAGCAAUCGUUACCAGAAUGGUUUACUGUAGUAGUAAUUAACUAGCAGUAAAAAUAACUGGUGGCAAAAGAAGAGUCAGGAUUAAAUUUAGUUAAAAGCCACUUAAUUAUAGAGCUUGCUAACAAUGAGACGAUGAGUGCAACUGCAGGAGAUGGUGCAGGUGGAGUGCAAGAGGUGGGAGAGCAAGGGGGUGAGGAUAAAGUACGAGAUCAGGGACAACAGGGUGGGGUACAAGGCCGGGGCACUGAGGGAAGGCAUGAAGCACGGCUACGUCCGCGACUGCGACUACGUGGCCAUCUUCGACGCCGACUUCCAGCCCGACCCCGACUUCCUCGCCCGCACCAUCCCCUUCCUCGUCCACAACCCCGACAUCGCCCUCGUCCAGGCCCGCUGGAAGUUCGGUGAGUCAGAAGUCGUAGUUUUUUAGAUAAUAGAUUAAAACCCGACCUCUACAUCCACACACAACCAGAAGUCCAUAGAUGAGUCCAAGUCACAUUUUUUUAAAAAAAAACACAAAGUGGCUAUUGGUAAAACGAUUUUAGUUUUUGAAUGGUUGCCUUGGCUCUCGUGUUAAUGGAUUUGUCUUUGUCAGAAGAAUUGAGUGGUUGGUUAGGUUUCUGAAUGGUGGUAAGCAGAUAUAGGAACAGCAUAAAAAUGGCAGUUCAAAAGGGCCCGGAUAAAGCACAUGCACCUAGGAGUACACACAUACUCCUAUAAUCAACAGUGAGUGCAGCAGAUAGGAGUAUGUUUUAGGAAAUGAGUGCACUGCAUUAGUUUAGUGUUCACGGCAGUUAUAGUAGUUGGAGAUAAGGUUAGUUGUUGAAGCCAAAGCAUGGGAGCAGUACACUUGGAAGCUGGACCUUGGUUUGUGAUUUGGGGGAUCAUGUGCACCUGUGACUUGUAACUGUAGUCCUUUGGACCAUGACAUUGACAUGUGCGUUGUUCUGAAAAAGCUGGAGUAGUAUAGUUAAAUCUUCUGCAUCACUAUUGGAUAAGGCCGAGUAAAAAUUGUCAGUAUGGUUGACUGAAUUGUUUGACUUAUCUUUGGCAUUGAUGAUAUAAUGCCCUUUUUUAACUAUAAUAUGAUAUAAUGUCCUUUUUUUUAACUAUACUAUGAUAUAAUGUCCUUUUUAAACUAUACUAGUGUAGCACACUGGCCUUGUUUUGGACUUUUUUCUUUUGGCAUGGUGAUGACAUGUUUGUUGCUGCUGACGGUGGUGAUGGCGUGUGAGCAGUGAAUGCAAAUGAAUGCCUGAUGACAAGGAUGCAGGAGAUGUCCUUGGAUUACCACUUCAAAGUAGAGCAAGAAGUGGGUUCCUCCACACACGCCUUCUUUGGCUUCAAUGGUAAAACUUGAUCUCAAUUCAUCUUGUCUUUUUUCUUCUCUCUUGUGGGGCAUUAUGUGUAUCCAUUUCUCAGUUCCAUGAUUCUGCCUCUCCUUCUGUAGAGUACAUAUGUUUAUUUUACUUAAUAAUGAGAAACUGUUUCGUAAUCUUUGGAAAGAAAAAGACAUGUUAACCACAUCUAAAAAUCAUAUGCAAUUGCAUCAUUCUAGUUUAUUCCUUAAAAAGUACAAUACCCAGUUAGAUCUUACACAAAGCAGAAGGAAAGAGUAGUGCAAGAAUAUAACACAUGCACAAGAUUUUCAAUGUUGAGAACUUAUUUUCUCUAGUAAAAGUCAUAUUUAGCAGCAUAUUUUGUUUUACCCUGCAAAAUGUUAUGUGAAUAGGGACUGCUGGUGUGUGGCGCAUAUCUGCGAUGAACGAGGCAGGAGGCUGGAAGGACAGGACAACAGUUGAAGACAUGGAUUUGGCAGUCAGAGCAGGCCUCAAGGGAUGGAAGUUUGUCUACCUUGGUGAUCUCAUGGUAAAUAUGCACUAGUAGCCUAACAAUUCAUGCAAUAUCCAAUGCAUCAAUUUGCGCUUCUAUAUAUUACAUUGUUAUUAAGCUAUAUAAGGAAGGAUGUAACUAACCUGGUAAUGUUGUUUGAAGGUGAAAAGUGAACUUCCAAGUACAUUCAAAGCAUUCCGGUAUCAACAACACAGAUGGUCCUGCGGACCGGCAAACCUGUUCAGGAAAAUGUUGGUGGAGAUUGCCACAAACAAGGUCCCUUGCACCAAGCUAUAUUAUGGAAAUAUUUUAUAAGUUAUAACACACAUGCAUCUUGUUGCUAACAAGCCAUUGAUCUUGAUGCAGAAAGUGACAUUGUGGAAGAAGAUCUAUGUGAUCUACAACUUCUUUUUGGUGCGCAAGAUUAUUGGACACAUUGUGACCUUUGUGUUUUACUGCCUUGUUGUCCCGGCAACGGUUUUAAUUCCAGAAGUUGAGAUACCAAGGUGGGGUUACGUCUAUUUGCCAUCCAUCGUCACCAUUCUCAAUUCUAUUGGGACUCCAAGGUGCCAAAUCUUCUCCAUAGCUUUGCAGUUUUACUUUCAGAAUAUGAAUCCAACCUACAGUACCCAACCUACAGUUUUACUUCCAGAGCUUUGCAGUUCUGAGCAACCUAAAAAUUUACAUGAAAAUAUGCAAUGAUGCAGGUCAUUGCACUUACUUAUCUUUUGGGUCCUCUUCGAGAAUGUUAUGUCACUGCAUAGAACAAAGGCCACGCUGAUCGGCCUGUUAGAGACAGGCAGGGUGAAUGAAUGGGUGGUGACCGAAAAGCUUGGCGAUGCUCUGAAAUUAAAAUUGCCAGGUAAAGCAUUCAGGAGGCCGCGCAUGAGGAUAGGAGACAGGUACGCAGUCGAAACAUUUUAGUCCUGCAUUUUCCAAGUUCCAAUCCUUGCAGCUAAACUUUGAUCUUGAACCAGGGUGAAUGCAUUGGAGCUUGGUUUUUCAGCCUACCUGUCCUUCUGUGGAUGCUAUGAUAUUGCCUAUGGGAAGGGCUAUUACAGUCUCUUCCUUUUUCUCCAAUCCAUCACCUUUUUCAUCAUCGGUGUGGGCUAUGUGGGGACAAUUGUCCCGCACUGAUUACAGAACCUCGAUGAGGCUAUCCAUCUUGGAUCAACGACCGGCUCUGGUUCUUUCCAGUCUCAUGGUGUUAGGUAUGCAACAAGAUGACAGAUCAAGCAGGCUUCUCCUGUGUGCAAGUGCAAAGUUUCCUGACAACAAUGAAGUGUAAAAGCACUGCAAAACAAGCAAUAGAUAAGGCUUUUAGCUGCUAGGAAUAUGCUGUUAUGUGCAUUACAAUUGUGAUGAUCUAGCAGUCUGUUCAGAGUCUCUGUGUCACCUUAGCAGAAUCUGUAGUGGGAAAGAUAGGAGUUGUUAAAAGCUUUAUAUUUUCUGCAAACAGGAAAAAAAUUGGAGUUUUUGGUUUUAGCAUGUAGCUUUAGUUCUGGGAACAGGAAGAAAAAAUAAUAUGUAUUGGUUCCUCAAUAUGCUCACCUGGUACAAAAGAGAGGCUGUACAUCUUUGCUUUAACUUUUCUUUCUCCUAAUGUUCAAGUGUAAUCUGGGAAUAUCCAUUUGAGAUACAGUAUUUUGAGGAGAAACAGAGAUACUGACACAGAAGCUGACCUCUACUGUUCCAUCUCUUGUCUCAGACUCUCUUUGAGUUCACCAGUCACCACACUGAUGAUUCUGUCAUGUGUUUCAUUCAGAAACUUCCUCUUCACAUGGUACAAUCAGUACUGUCUGUCUGCCUGUCUGUAUUUCUGUCUCCUGGCAAUCCGCAUACUGACAUUUGAUUCUUACUGAACUGCUGACAUUCGAGGAUCUGCAUGUGACUCGAGAACAGUGAGGAUUUGUUUCAUGGCUCUGCAAGUCUGCAAGGAUCCAAACCACAGACUAGGACCAGAUGUCAUUCAAAGUGUUCUGAAUCUCAAUAACAUGAACAGGUGAUGUGAUCUUGUGUUACAUAAUGCUAGUAUUCUGGAAGCAAGGUCGUGAUCAGUGACUGGGAUAGAGCAAAAGGGUAAAUACAUUACAAUGGUGUACUUUCAUGUCGUUUGCUCCGGACCUUCUCCCAUAUGUUUAUCUUGGCGCCAAUUUUCUCAUGCAUCAGAUUUCUCCAAGAUGCAACUUUUGUAGUUGCAGCCCGAACCCGGCUAAUAACAGAUCAAAAUUGCAGUGGGUCUAGAACAAGGGCACAACAGUUCUCAAGUUGCAAAAAAUCUACAGGCCCUGUGAUCUCUUUGAACCCUCUUUGAAAGAGGAUGCAAAAUUUGCAAAUGUUCAUGAAAUUGAGCGAGUGACAACUGACAACUGACAAUCGAUCAUUUAGCAGGCUUGUUGCUUCAUAGAAGCAACAUCUCAAAUGAUGAAAAUGCAAUGCCACUUCACAUCACCAAUCAGCUCAGCUGCAAUGGCUGGCAUCAUCUCCAUCCAUAACCGGAGGCACGGACUGCUCGGCGACGGCGGCGGCCAACGCGUUGCAGGCCGCGUAUAUCGCCGAGCGCUCGUCGUGGUACGAGUCGCCGGCGAGGAAGGUGUGCCUUUUGCCCCGGACCUCGACGGCGCUCCAGGCCGGAUCCUUCUUGAUUCCCAGCGACCGCAUCGCCUCGUGCGCGCCGGCGACGCUGCCCCACAUCUCGCGCGCGGCGUACGCGUUCGCCAGGACGACGUACUUGCCGGCGUUCCCCGGCUGCAGCCGGAAGAAGCGGCGCGCGGCGAGCUCGACCAGCCUCACGUCGCCGUGCUUCCUGCCGGCGCCGAGCAGCGCGCCCCAGACCACCGAGUGCUCCUGGCAGUCCGGCAGGUUCUUGACGAGCUCGUAGGCGUCGCCGAGCCGGCCGACCCUGGCGAGCAUGUCGACCGCCGCCGCGUAGUGCUCGCCCCUCGGCGUGAGGCCGUAGCCCGACGACAUGGACGAGAGGUGGCGCAGACCCUCGCCGACGAGCCCGGCGUGCGCGCACGCCGAGAGCACGGCGAGGAACGUGACGUCGUUCGGCCGGAGCCCGUCCACCCGCGUCAUCCGGUCGAACAGCGCCAGCGCCUCCGCGGCGCGCCCGUGCUGGCCGUGCCCGGAGAUGACGGCGGUCCACAUGGUGACGUUCCGCGCCGGCGCCGCCGCGAACGCCCGGCGCGCCUCCUCGGGGCUGCUGCACUUGAGGUACAUGUCGACGAGCGCGCUGUCGACGAAGACGUUGCCGCCGCCGACGCGCGACUUGACCAUGACGCCGUGCACGCGCCGGCCGUGCUCCAGCGCGGCCAGCCUCGCGCACGCGCAGAGCACCGACGCGAACGUGAACUGGUCCGGCCUCAUCCCCUCCGCCCGCAUCGACCCAAACAUCUCCACCGCCCGCGCCUCCGCGCCGCCGCGCGCGCACCCGGAUAUCAUGGCGUUCCACGCCACGACGCUCCUCUGCGGCAUUCCGUCGAACACCUUCCGCGCAACACCAAGCUCACCGAUCUUGACGUAAAAGAUCAGCAGCUUGGUGACGAUGUAGACGCCGCCGCCAAACCCCACCGACACCAUGCGCGCGUGGAUCCUCUUCCCCAUCCUCGCGUCCCGCCGGUUCACGCAUUCCUGCAGCAGAAGCGCGUAGGUCCCCUCACCGGGGCACACCGUACUCCGCCACAGGAGACCCACCGCCCUAGCGAGAUCGCCGGCGACGCACAGCGACCUCAGCAUUCGCGCCAAGCCAACGGAGCCCAUGAUCCAGCUGCCCAACUCUCUUCUAUCCGAAUUCGAGCUCGCUCUAAUGGCGUCGCAUCUCUGCGCCGCUCAGAUUAGUAGUGUAUACAAGAUGAAAUCCGAGACCUAGGAGAAAUCAGGCUACUACAUUUACAACAAAAACUCUCGGGUCAAUUACAAGAUCGAGGAUAUACAAGCGAAACUUCAUUUUUGUUUCGAUUCGUCUCCUGUUUUGUCUCUCUUCUUGUUCUUCUAUCUAUCUAUGGUGGUUUGAUUUUUUUUUUGUAUUAGACAUAGUAAAUCAUGCCGACCUCGAGGGUGGAGGCGUGAGGGAUGGUGACGGCGUAGUUGGGGCCGCGGCUGUUGCGGCGGAGGAAGUCGUAGCAGAAGUUGAUGACCAGCCGCCGGAAGAAGCUGGAGCCGCUCUUGGCCUUGACGUAGGAGUGGCCGAGGAUGAACGCCAUGCCGGCCUCGCGCGCGUCCAUCAGCUCCUGCAGCUCCUCCCGCACGCCGGCGUCCGGCCGCGGGCUCGCCGCCGGCAGCACGAACCGCACCCUCUUCCUCGGCGCCACCACCACCGGCGGCGGCGACGGCGACGGCGACAUGAUCUCCCUUGCGCCGCCGCCGCCGCGCGAGCUGCCUCUGCCGCUGCCGCUGCCGCUGCCGCCGACGGUGUCCUCCGACGACGGCGCCCCCGCGCCGCCGUCCUCCUCCAUCAUCCGAAUGCUGCCGGAGGGGAUGACGGACAUCCGCUCCUCCUCCUCUUUCUCCGACUCCUCCGCGCCGCCGCCGCAGACGUUCUUGGGCUUGGAAGAGGCCGCGGCGUCGGCCGCGGCGGCGGCGCCGGAGCGGAUGAACUCCGCGACGCUGCAGACGAGCUCCUUCUCGAACUCCUGAUCGUCCUUGUGCACGUCGUGGUAGCCGUACCUGACAAUGCACCGGUAGAUUCUGUACUCCUUGGGGCCAAUUCUUCCGACGAGGAACCUCUCCUCCGGCGAGACAUGCGGUAUCGGGACGUUCUUGAUGCAGAGGAAGAUGAGCACCUGAUCAUCAUCAAGAAGAAGAAGAUGAUGAGCACUGUAACCAAAAUUCUGAAUUUCUGAACAAUGACAACAACUUCAGAAGGCGAGGAAUGAUGGCUGAUGAGCAAGAUUACUUGAUGAAAUGCAGGUAGGUUGGUGACGAAAUGCGAGAAGAUUGCCGGGAUCCCAGAGUCGAGCUCGGUGUGGAUGAGGCCGAUGCCGCGGACUCGGACAAUGCCGAGGUUGGGGCUGAGGCCAAGGAGCCAGUUGAUGGAGACCUUGUUCUGGAGAUCGAACUCAUACUUCUUGAUGGUGCCAUAGUGCCAGAUGCACAUUAUCGCCAUGAAGAUGAAGGCCAGCACAAUUGGGACCCAGGCUCCUUCUCUGAACUUGAUGAGUGAUGCUGAGAAGUAGAGUGCCUCAAUGGUGCCGAAGAAGAUGAUGAAGCCGAAUGCGAGGAAGAUGCUCUUGUGCCAACACAGAACUAUCACCAGGGACAUCAGACAUGUCGUGACCAGCAUAACGGUUAUAACCGCCAAUCCUGUUCAAAGGACAACUAUUGCAUAUCAGACAAAUUCCUUACUCAUUAGCUUCAGUAUGCAUAGGUAAUUCGAACAUGGAAUAAUCAGGUGGUUUGAUAUGUCAAAAACUAAAACAAGUGGUACAUACCUGACGCAUUGCCCAGGUGUUUUGUGUCUCUGAAACCAAUGGUAAUAGCUAAGCACAGUAUCAUCAGGAUCCAAUUGAUCUCAGGGAUGUAAAUUUGCCCGUGUACUUUGUCAGAUGUGUGAACUAUCUUCACCCGAGGAAAGCAGCCGAGAGCGGUGCACUGCUUGAUCAUUGAGAAUGUGCCAGUGAUAACAGCUUGGCUCCCGACAACUGCUGCAAGAAUGGCAAUUGCCAGAACUGGCCACCUAAUUUUCUCUGAGGAUGGAAAACUUUUAAAUAUUAAUAAACAGUACUAGGAGAAUGAUAUAAUAUCGAUUUCGCUGUUGAUGAAAGAUCUGGAGAACAUGACUUGCCAGGCACAGACACAUAGAACCCGAUCCUGUAGUCACUUUCAAUGAUGUGAUGCUUACACAGAUAAGCAGCUUGCCCCAUGUAUGCAAGGAUCAAGGAUGGGUAAACCAUGCAAGUAAAAGCAAUCUGCAAUCAGGAAAUGCUUAUCAGAGACAAAACUAUUGACCGCAUGUCCGCAUAUUGCUACUAUGAUGAAACCAAGUAAAACAAAACAUUGAGAUUGCACUCUAUUUCAUCACCUGUAUCGACAGCUGAUUAAAAUGCCCCAGAUCUGCAAACAUUGCUUCAGAACCUGAAAAACAACACUCAAGUUAGUAAAGUUGUACACUUCAGAGAUCAUUGGCAUAUGGUAGAAAAUGGUUGUUGAUCAUAGUACCAGUGAUACAUAACAAUAUUCCUCCCAGUGACAUCCAACCUCCUCUCUGCGUCUUCUUCAAAAACUUGUACAUAUAAUAUGGAGAUAACGCUCGAUAGACAUUGGGCUCCCAAUGCACGAUAUUGUAAACACCAAUCAUGCUUAUACAUAGAAGCCAUGUAAUCACAAUUGGUGCAAAAAGGAACCCCACCCGGUGUGUACCAUAGUGUUGCAGACAAAACAGGCAAACCAGUACAAAACAAGCAAUAGGAACCUCCACAUCUGCAGAUUCAAAUCAGUAAAAAAAACUUUGCACAGUUAGUAAUGGGUUAAAAAAGAAACAAAACAUAUUAGCAAAACAAGAAUCAGAAUAAAAGCACAUGCUUAAAUGAUUAAAAGUCAAAAUAGAGUUUCUUUACUCCGCACUUCAGAAUUCAGCACUUAUUUUAUUACUUUCAGCAUGUGUAGCUUCCAUUUUCCAGAAUUUCCGAACCUUAUUACCACUAGCUGACCAUAUUUCUGCCCAGAGUGAACUCUAUCCUCUGCCAAAGCCCAAGAGAAUAUGAACUGAACAGAUACAGUAAUUUAGAUGAUGACCGGCUUAUUUAGGAAUCGCUCAAAUCUUUUCUUUCUGUUUCCCACUACAGUUCUUCACAAGAAUCACAACUGCUUGAGUAGGGUAGUUCCAUUUAUUGUAGUCAUCAAUGCUACUAGAUAAGAGUAUUAAUCUUCUCCAGUUCGUAGGCUAAUAGCAUUAUAGCAACAACUGUUAGGCAUACAUUGACUAACAACAGUACGGAGUUGAUUGUUGGUGUCCAUGCGACAACGCUGCGUUGCUCAUGGUCAUUCCCUGUCAAAGACCUUCCUAAAUGAAUUUGGCACGCAAUUGAUCAUCUGAUAUCUGAGCCGAUAAGCUCGCACGGAAACUUCCAAAAGUAUCAAUCCCAUUGAAGCAAACUGUUCAGACUUCAUCAGUUAACAUAAUUCCUGGUUUUACGAACACCAAAUUGCACAGAAUCCAUCUCUUGCGUGCAUCUUACAGGUAAAAUUUACUCGAAUUGUGGUGCACUAGUAUGACUGAAACUGCACACUUUUUUCAACUAAAAAAACAAGAAACUGCACCCUUUUGAGUUUGAGGUGGACCCUGAAUUAUCUAAAAAAACUCAGAACAUGAUGAUCCAGGAAACAGUAGUUAACAAGAUGAGGAAGACAAAUCUACAAUCAUAUCAAAAGACAGAAACAAUGGAAGGGACAAAGGCAUGGUUGGGUGUUCAGAUCCUUACAUUUGUGCUGAUGCUUUUCCAUGGACAAUUCCAGCCCGGAUACCGCCGAGAACACUGCAAAAACAGAACACGCCAUCUGAAAAUCAGCACACGACAACCCAAGAACACAAACAAGCCAGCAAAUCAAGCGGGGGCGCGCACGCACCGGAGAUGGCCGGCGUGAGCACGCCGUCGCCGAUGACCAUGCACGUGCCCACCAGCGCCAGCACGAGGAGCACGCGCUGCAGCACCUUGUGCCGCUCCAGCAGCCUCCUCACGCCGGCGGCGGCGCCGCCUCCGCCGCCGCGCCCGCUCAGCGCCAGCGCAUUGCCGUUCGCCGCGGCUUUCUUGUCGGCGCCCGCGUCCAAGAACUGGUCCUCGUCGCCCGGCUCGCCGCCGCCGCCGCCGCCGCCAGGCGGGAGGAGCGCGGCGCGGGCGUGGCGGCAGAGGAGGGAGUAGAGGGCGAAGGUGCCGCCCUCGCCGUUGUCGUCGGCGCGGAGGACGACGCAGACGUACUUGAGGAGCGGGACGAGGGUGAGCGUCCAGAAGACGAAGGAGAGCACGCCGAGGAUCUCCUCGUUGGUCUCCGAGUGCUGGAUGUCCUCCGCGAACGCCGCCUUGUACACGUACAGCGGCGACGUGCUCAGGUCGCCGUACACCACCCCGAGGCUCUGGUACGCCAGGCUCAUCGUCAUCCGCCAUGGCAGCCGCCUCCUCUUGCUGCUGCUCCCUCCCUGCUCCAUCCAUCCACCCACCCAAAUCAAAUCACACGCGCACACACACAUUAGCAAAGAAUCCAAGAUCGCACCAAGAUUCAACAACACCAUGAUCAAUCAAUCAAUCACGACCACCACAACCCUCGCAAACCCGACAAGAUUAGACCAUUAACCAUCAAACAUGACACGACCUCCACCACCCAACCCAUACCUUGCAAUCGGGAGAACUCGGCGACUCAGGAUCCACGGGAGACGGGCUCUUCAUUCCUCAAUCCCAACACAAGAACAGAGGAAGCAAAACCACUCCUACUCCUACUCGUCCUACAGCAGCUACAGGGUUUCUUGGCUCUCUCUCUCUCUCUCUCUCUCUGAAUCCCUGGGGGUAUCAAAUCCAACGAUUCAGAGGAGACGGUAAUGGGGAUUAUUAGGCGGUGGGAAAAUUUGGAGUUAUUGAGGUUUUUAAGAGGGUCAAAGCGGAAGCAAAACAGGGGGCACUUUGGAGGGAGGCAGCAUUGGCGUGGUGCUGCUGCUGCUGCGACUGUGAGGCAGGGAGGGAGAAGCGGAACAAUGAAGAAGAAGAAGAUGAGAAGCAGCAGAAGAGAGAGAGAGAAGAAGAGGGCCAGGGAGGAUUGGAAUAUUUGGGAGUGGGACAGCAAAAGAGAGGGGCCAACAAUACUGGGGGAAACCGAAAAAGCAGCAGUUUUUUUUUUCUACUGCAAAAUGUACUUCCUGUUUGGCCGGCUCCUCUGCAUAGGGUCCUUGUGUGGACUCACAAGGGAUGAACUCUUGUUUACAUCCUGCUAAAAUUGUACUACUUCCUCCAUCCCAAAUUAGGCUGUGUUGGAUACCAAAAGUUCCCACUCCCCAUCUCGUUUUCCACGCGCACGCUUUUUAAACUACUAAACAAAACAGUGUGUUUUUUUGCAAAAUAUUUCUAUACGAAAAUUACUUAGAAAAAUUAUAUUGAUCCAUUUUUUAAAAAAUAGCUAAUACUUAAUUAAUUACGUGCUAAUAGACCGCUUUGUUUUUCGUACGGAGAAGAUAUGUUCCCAUCCUCAUCCUCCAGUACCAAACACAACCUUAGUUAUCUUUCUACCAUUUAAUUUUUGUCUCACAGUACUUGUCACUUCCAAGUAUUACUUGUCUCAUCAAUCACAUAUCAUUCAAACUUCUGUCAACCAACCUUCUAUUCUUAAAACAUAAUUUUUUUUAUAAGGGUAUUGUAGUUUUUUAUUCUAAACCUUAGAAUAUGCCAAACAAUUUUAAAGGAAAAGCAAUUUAGGACGGUGGUAGUAUACUCUAUCGGUCUCAAAAUAAGUGCGAUGUGAUAUAUCCAAGAAUUAUAAAUUUAGAUAGGUAUAUUUGAAAAGAAACACAACCUAAAUAAGAUAGUUCAUCAAAGCAUGAUUAAUUAAGUAUUAAAAAGACUUGGAAAUAGAUCAUUAUGAUUUUUCUACAGUAAAAUUUCAACAAAAAUGUUUCAAAAAAAAUAACAUCGUUUAAUAGUUUGAGAAACAUAUACGCAGGAAACGAGGGUAUAGUGUUCUUAAAAAGUUGUGAUGAUAUUAACACAUUAUUUUCAGUGAUGAUCUAUUUAUAAGAAACUGACAAUUAAUGUUGUGAAAACGGGUUUCAUACUUCUAAUAGUAGACGAUAUCAGGAUUUAUGAUUUGUGUAUUAGUUUGGCAGCCAUAAUGCGGUUUCUAGUAGUAGUAUGAUACGGGUUUGGGAUUAUGUAAUUGUUUUCUAAUUAAUUGAAAAAAAUGACUACCUCUUUCAAUGUUAUCGUAGUAAUUAUUGUUUAUUAAUUUAAAAUAAAUGUAUUGUGCUAUUAGGAGACAUUUAUUAGGUGGCAUAGAUAGCAGGGCAAUACCAGUUUCAUGUAGAUGCUCUAUAAAUAUAGAGGUUCUGGAAUUAGAGGUACUAUUACAUUCAUAUGUUAGUUACACUUGUUUAUUGGCCUGAAGCUAAUUUUAGUGACAACAAUAGUUCCCAGUUGGCAUAUAUUUACUGCCCCUAAACUGGAUCAGUAUGGGAGAUAGUAACCUAGUUGCUUUUGUUUAUUGUUGGAAGCAUGGAUUUGUCAUGUGAGGUAGAUGUUUCCUUUGUAGAUUAAACCUUUUUAGUACGAGUACUGUCAAUCAUUUUGCUAUUAAUGCAUGAAAGUAAGAUUCAAAGUACUAUCUACUAGUUUAGAAUAAAACUCAAGAAAGCAUCUACUCCUGCAUUUUACCCUUACUAUAUGUCUAUAUCCCGCGGGUUAUUCUUGAAGCGCAUAAUAACAUAAGAAAGUCAACAGGUGAAAGUUUUCUGCAUAAUUUUUUUUAAUACAAUGCAAUGCUCCAACCUUUCACCUGUUACAUACUAUAUUUUAUUUUUUCCAUGUUCAUAUGUUGUUGGGGCUCUAUCUAUAUAGGCAUUUUUUGGGUCUUUUUUCCACAUCUAAUGAAAUGGCUCACAAAGCUUUUGCGUUCUUGGGAGAAACUCCAAUCAUUUGAACUAAGACUGAUAAGCUCUGAGAAAAAUUAACUAAACAACCAAAAAUAUUUAAUGAGCAAAACUUUUAUACAUUUGUUAUUAACGAUUUGAAAGAUAAUGUUAAAAAAAACAACGAUGAAAUGCAUACAUGGCAACCUUUGAAUAUGAUUUUAGUGAUUAGGGAUGCCUCUUUGAAUGUGUUUUAGAGAACGAACUUAUGUGUUAUAUUGUCUACAGCUUGAAAGAGGCACUACUAUAAAACAUCAAAUAGGUGUCACCACUAUAGGUGCCGGUAGUGCUAAAACCGGCACCAAUAGGCCUUUUCAUACCUUCGUGGGUUGAAAUUAGAAAAAAAGGUAUCUUUAAGUAAUCAUAGGUUCCGUUCUAAAUAAAAACCGGCACCUAUUAUAUUUUGUGUUGGUUUUUUUUAAAAAGCCAGCACCUUUAAUAUAUUAUAGGUGGGAAAAAGUACGAAUUAACCCCCCCAACUAUCGCGGUCGUCCGAAUUACUCCCCUGAACCACAAAACCGGACAUUCUUCACACCAAACUAUGCAAACCGGACGAAUUACCCCUUGGAUCCAAUCCGCGGUGGUUUUGGUCUACGUGGCGUACACGUGGCAUCCCAGUCAGCUGUUUUCUAAUAAAAAAAAUUGUGGGACCCGCAUGUCAUAGUCUUCGCUUUCCCUCUCUCUCACUCUUCCUCUCUUCUCUUUCUCACUCUAUCUCACUCUUCACUGCUUCACUCUAUCGGCGGCAGCGAGAGACACAGAGGAGAGGGCAGCGGGCGGCGGAAGGCGGCGCAUGGGGGCGGACGGCGGCGUCGCGGCGAAGGCCGAGCGGAGGCGGCUGCGGGCGCGGCGCACGGGGGCGGGCUGCGGACGGCGGCUGCGAGCGCGGCGCACGGGGGCGGGCGAUGAGGUGCCUCUACACGUACCGCUCCGCGUGUCCCGUGGCGAGGUCGACAGCGUCGACGAGCCACCGCGCGCGGCCGUCAUCGUAGCGCGUCGAGCGGACCUUGCAGCGGAUGUGGGUGCGGGGGAGGUCCGGGAGGGAGCAGCGGCGGCGACCGCGCGGGGCGUAGAGGCAUCCUCGUCCGCUUCUCCGCCGCCACUCGCCUCUCCACCGCCGCCCGCUUCGCUCGCCUCUCCGCUGCCGCUCGUCUCGCCCGCCUCGUCCGCGCCUCCGACGCCUUGUCCGCCUGUCCGCCGCCGCUCGCCUCCCCUGCCUUGUCCGCCUGUCCGCCGCCUCCCGCCUCUUCGCCGCCGCUCGCCUCGCCCGCCUCGUCCGCCUGUCCGCCGCCGCCCGCCUGCCUCUCCGUCUUGUCGAUGCCGUCGAUCUCGCCACGGGACGCGCGGAGUGGUAUGCGGCGAGGCACCUCGUCGCCCGCCCCCAUGCGCGUUGCCGCGACGCCGCCGUCCGCCGCCCGCCCCCCGUGCGCCAUGCCCGCAGCCGCCUCCGCUCACUUCGCCGCGACGCCGCCGUCCGCCCCCGUGCGCCGCCUUUCGCCGCUCGCCGCCCGCUCCUCCGUGCCUCCCGCCGCGCCGAUAGAGUGAAGAAGUGAAGAGUGAGAGAGAGAAGAGAGGAAGAGUGAGAGAGAGGGGAAAGUGAAGACUAUGACAUGCGUGUCCCACAAUUUUUUUUAUUAGAAAACGCUGACUGGGAUGCCACGUAGACCAAAACCACCGCGGAUUGGAUCGAGGGGGGGUAAUUCGUCCGGUUUGCAUAGUUUGGGGUGAAGAAUGUCUGGUUUUGUGGUUUAGGGGGGUAAUUCGGAUGACCGCGAUAGUUCGGGGGGGGGGGGUAAUUCGUACUUUUUCCUUGUAGGUGUCGGUUAAUUAAAAACCGACACAUACUAUAUAUUAUAGGUGCCAGUUUAUUUUUUUAAAAAACCGAUAUCUAUGUGAAUCAAGCCGAGAUGGCAUCGGAUGAGCCGACCGGUGGCCCCCACACGACGAGACGAGCAUCGGAUAAGGUUCGACGUCUUGCUCUCAUCGUCUAUUCGUCUCAUUCCCUCUCUCUCUCUCCCUCCCUCUCUCUCUCUCGUUUCGCUCUCUUCUCCCUCGUCUCGCUCUCUUCUCUCUCCUGCACGCUGCCGGCGGUUGGUUGGCGGAGGCGGCAGCGGCGACCGCGUCCUCCCCUCGGCCAGAUCCGACGGGAGGGGAGGCGGCGGCAUGAGGGGAGGCGGCGGCAAGUGGCGUGGCUCACAGCCAUCGGCGGCGGCGGCGGCGACCUCCCCUCCGCCAGAUCCGGCAACGACAACCAUCUCCUUUGCUUGCGGCAACGAUGGCGGUGGGCUCCCCACGGGCGACGGUGAGCACCCCCAACCAUCUCCUUCGCUUGCGGCUGCUUGAUUCUAAUGUUUGAUGUGAGAUGAAUGUUGCCAAAUUUUGUUGUGAGAUGAAUAUUGCUUGAUUCAAAUGUUUGAUUCAGUGAUUCAAAUGUGAUUCAGUGAUUUAUUUUGUGAGAUGAAUGUUGCCAAAUUUUCUUUCUUGUGGAUGUGGGAGGAGCGACUGCUCGGCUCGAUGCGUCGGCUCAAUCGAGCCGGCUUUUUUUUAUUCCUCGAACCUAAAAGGUGCCGGUUCUAAGGAUCUGGCACCUUUUUGAUUUGCAAUCUGUGCCGCCUCUCUUGUGCCGGUUGGGAAAACUGGCAUCGAAGAUGGUUUCCCAACCGGCACUAUUCCCCUUUUCUGUAGUAGUGAUGUAUCCCUAAUCACUAAAAUCAUAAAUGUUUCACCACAGACAACAUAGCCAAUAAAGUAUGUUUUAUUUCGCUAUGGUUUGUGUAAGUAUUACUCCCUCUGUCCUAAAUUAUAAGGCCUAUAUUUUUCUUACGCGGUCUUCAAUGACAUACUAUGACAAGUAUUUUAUUUUAUGUUAUGUUCUCAAUAAAUAUGAAAUUAGCAUCAUAAGAAAUUACUUCAAAAUAUUAAUCUAGUGAUAUAACAUGCAUAAUACUUAGUUUAGAUAUAUAGUUAGUAUGAUUAUUAGUAAAAAAAAAUACAAGUUCAAUUUUUGUUAGAAGGGGAGGUCUUAUAAUUUGGGACGGAGAGAGUAUAUAUUGUGUGUUUUUGUUUGCGUAAUCGAAAUAAAAGGUUCACCACGUUACCGUCACAAUUUCUGUUGUACUACUCACCACUGCCACUGCCCAUGUUCGUUAACUGUAAAGAUCAAUAGAAUGGAGGAGAUUACAAUAUCAUUCACAUUCGCUUUCUACUACUCUGUUCGUUUCAAAAUGGAGGAGUUUCAGCUGGACGACACAUAUACUAAUAUUACAAAUAUAUCUGUUUAGAUUGAUAGUAAUAGAAUAUAUCCUAUUCAACUAAAACUUUUUAUAUUUUAGAACGAAUGGAGUAACAUUAAACACUAAUAUCCUGUUUGGAGAACUAGCACAAAGUUAUUUUGAGAGCUAUUUUUUAACAUAAGGAAAUAGCCCUCAAAUAAAAUAGUAGGCCUAUAUUGUUUAGAUUCAAAGGUUAUUUUGAGAGUUAUUUGAUAUUUAAUACACGAAAAAGCCUCUCAAUGCUGCUGUGGGAGGGGCACCGCCCGCAACUUCUCCCAAUUAACCUACGCACGCACGCACGCGCGCGGCAACCCACCCACCCCUCCAGUCUCAGCCAAGCCGGCCCCACACCCCGGCAAUCCGACGUGGGCCAGGUCAAUCGGAUGACGCUGGCUAGGUGGAGCGGUGGUACCCAAAAAAAAAAAGGAAACAGAGAAGAAGAAGAAGAAAAAGAGAAGACAGCCUCGGUGGACGUGCGUGAUAUGCGAGUGCGCUUCUCACUCGCAAGCGUUCUCGCGUGGCGCCCGCGUCCCCGCUGCCGCAGCCAGCCGCCACUGGUGUCGGGCGCGAGGCGCCCUGGCGGUGGGACCCACACACGGUGGUGGUGGUGGCCCCCACUGGACAGUGACAGUGACCUGGCUCUCUCGCUCGAUGCGACGCGACACGACGGUGGCGAUGCGGAAGCUUUUUUUUUUUUUUUCACUUUUUCACCGCCCCACGUCGCCGCACGAGGUGGUCGGUCUCGGCCGGGGACUGAGCAAGCAUCUGGUUGUUUUAUUAUGGGGGCGUUUUUGCCUGUAUUUUUUCUUUUUUUACAGUGAUCCGACGACGGCGACGCGGUGGCGGAAUUCGGCGGGAUCGGGUUUGGACGUUUGCUCGCCGGAGUUUAUUCGCGCGGCGGCGGUGGGUGGUUAACGUCCCGGAUUCGUACGUGUCGGGGCUUACGUAUAUAGAUGAUCGAACAUCUACUAAGCUAUAUACUACUAUGGUACUACUACUUCAACGGUCUUAAGAAAAGGUUGUGGAUCUUCUGUCAUGCACGAUCAACGCUGAUAGAGAAACAAAUUAAUAGUAUAGCACACUACUAGAUCUAAAUUAUCUAUUGUCAAUAUAAUAGCCAGUUCACACAAUACUUGCUUACUAUACUAUUAAUACCUGGUCUCACCUGUCAUACACACAUUAUGUAUGAGAGUCCGUGCUAUAGCUGGCUACAGAUCUGUAGUCCGCUGCUCUUCUCUCUUCCUUUAUCUCUUUAAAAUAUGUUUAUAGCUGGCUUAUAGCCUGCUAUUAUACCUGUUCUAAUAAGAUACACCCUCCGUAAAAAUAAAAACUGUUCCUAUCUACGAAGAUACGAAGAUUCAUGGCUAAGUUGAAACUUUUUUUUGACGGAAGCCCCCAUCGUUUCGUUUAUUCGUGGAAUAAGCUAAAGGACACAUUUGUAAACGAAAAAUAAUUUGUGAAUAAAACUUUUAUGUUCAUGUUCUUAGUGAUCUAAAAGCAAAGGCCGAAAAAAUUCGAUAAAAGAAAUCUCAAAAUCAGCUCUAAAUUUAAGGUUGAAAAUUUAAAAUAUGGCUGAUAAGCAUAAGCAUAAACGAAAAGACGAGAUUCAAAGUAUACUCCAUAAAAAAAAGAAACAUGAAGUCCGAUAUUCUGUAUGAUCUUCAAUAUGUGUGAAAAAUUCAUUCUGCGGUAGUGUACCUGUAGAAUUAGUAUAAGGCCCUGUUUAGUACACACCAAAUUUUCUCUAAACUUCUAACUUUCCAUCACAUCACAUCUAAAACUUUUCUACUCACAUAAACUUUCAACUUUUUUUUUCUAGACUACUCCCUCCGUCCAAAAAAAAACCUAAUCCUGGGUUUGAAUCAAGAUUGAGUUUUUUGGGACGGAGGAAGUACCAACUUUCCCUAAACUUCUCUCCAAUUUCAGAAACUAAACACAGCCUAAGUGUACCUGUAGAGUAGUGCCCAUUUCAAUUCUAGAUUGAUUUAUUUUGGGAUGUAAUGAGUAUAUUACAUUAUAUUACACUAUAAACAAAAGGAUAUGCAAAUUGUCUUUUCUUUUAAAUGCCAAAAUAAAAAAAGAUCGGGAUUGGUUAGUGCAUCAACAUCUUCACGUAGCAUUCGUUUCCUAUUUAGUGCCACCGAAUUUUGGCACUUUUGCAUGGACAACUUCAUUUUCCAAGCAAUUAUCUCUACACCUUUCUUCUCCAACUAAUGUAUAUAGUAUUAAAAAAAAUAAUAUCUUCAUAUAUAUAUAUAUAUAUAUAUAUAUAUAUAUAUAUAUAUAUAUAUAUAUAUAUAUAUAUAUACAUCAGAAAAAUCACAAUUAUACCAUGAUAUCAGUGGAGCUUUGUAGAUAUAAAGCUUUUGAUAUGAUAUUCUACACAACUCUACCAACAAGGAGUCACCAAAAUACCAAUUUGUAGAUAUAAAGCUUUUGAUAUGAUAUUCUACACAACUCUACCAACAAGGAGUCACCAAAAUACCAAAGCAUAUCUCUUCCGGCCAUUGACAAUGAAUAUUGAUUAGGUUCCAUCUCCUUCUGAUGUGACCUAAUUUGGUCCUACCUCCAAUAUUUGUUUUCAUGUGCCCUUGCUAGGGUGACCAUCCUACUUUGGUUCAAUGUUGGCCGACCCACCAAGGUCAGAUGUGACCAAGCAUUGCGUGUGCCUAGGUCACAUACCUGUAUGUUUAUUAGUAAUAUUUUUUUAGGCUUUAGAACGUCCAAGUUUUAUGUACGUAUAUCUCAAUGUACUGAUUAAUGUAGUGCCAUAACAAACACAUUGUUGAGUGUUUGCCAUUUUCUUCUAUUUUUGUUAUUGCUAGUUGAUUUGUAACAUACUACCAAUUUAGAGUGACAUAUAACUAUAAUAGUAUAAUGUUAUUAAAAGAAACACUUCUAGUUCAGCUCGUUUGUGCGGAAAAAGGGAUAUUUUGGGUAAAACAAGAGAACAUGGAAUCAUGUUAGGCAUAGAAAAAUUUAGGACGUACUACUUUAGAACACCGAAGAACUCUAUUUCUUCUAAUAUAUUGACGUGCAAUUUUUUUGCGUAUUAAAAAAAAACUUUAGAACACAAAAGAAUGGUUUUUACGUUCUGCGAGGAUCAAACUGAUUCAUGUAAAAUUUACACUCCAGAUUGCCUUGAUAUGCAAAGUGCUUAUACAAUUUAGGAUUAUUGUCACGGAUUAUGUGCACCAUAUCUUGAAAAAUAUAUUUAUCUGAAAAAACUUUCUUCUACUGCAUUGAUUAAAUUACUUGUUUUGAACUAUUUGAUAAGUUUAUUUUUAUAAUAUUUAUUCUAUCUCUAUAAUUAAGUUGAAAUUCGUGGCAAUAAUCAAGUGAAAAAUUUGUUUCAUGGCCUUACCUUACCUUACAGUGUACAGUGCUAUCACAAUUUUUUUAAGAAGGGUCUCCAAUCUUGAGAACCACUGACUUUGGGUGCGAAAUUUGUCUGCAUCCACUGGCUGUGCCAACUGCCAAGUAAGCCUCAAUGUCUUAAAUGUGCACACGUUUUCUAUAGUCAGGUUGCUGCACAUUUUGGUCAUCAGUCAUCACAUCUUCAUGUACGUAAUGCAUACUACAAAAUAGAUUUAUUUAGUAGUGCCCCUUUCUAGUGCUCAUGAUGAUUAGCAGAUGAAGGUAGUAUCCGGCCUCACCUACAUCUGGGGCAGAACAGUGUAAAGCAAUCUUAAAUUAAGUACUCCGACUUAAUUUAAUGAACAUCAACUAAUCAUCAAAGAAUGAGGACAAAGGUGUUUGCCUCAAAGCAUGGCCCAAAAAAGUUCUCCCUUUGAAUAAAACAGUGGAAAACGAUGCAAAAUCCAAAUGGCAUAUAUUCUUGGUUAAUUCAAAUGCAUGGGUGAGAUGCCUUAGUUCUCAAACAAUAUAAAGAUACUGACACACUUGGUUACAAAUACAUUAAAGAGGGUAUUUCUAUUCAGAGAUGUCAUGACUUUGUAUUUGCCCAUACUCCAUAGCGAGGCUUCUAUUCUUUGGGCUGUGUGCAUACUAAGUUGGUGCAGAAGUUAUUUCAUUACUUGAUGAAAUAUCCAUUAUAUUAAAAAUAGGAUUAUCAUUUUUAAUUUCAUGUUUUUUUUUGAAAGUAGCCCUGAGAUUUGAUAGAGAUGUUCUUUCAAACCACUGCUUGUUAACAGUUGGAUCUGUCAAUGUUUUUCUCAAGGACACAUCAUAAGAUACCUACAAACAACCGAUGAAGGAUACAUCAACUGACUUAGAGGCAUCACCCCUUUGGAAUAUAUGGCACUCUUGAUUCGCAUUUUUUUCAUGUCCCUUAGCUAAUGGAAUUGAGUGCAGUGUAUCAGGCGGAUGAGAAAUGCGUUGAUCUGUUCUUGCACAGCUGGGGUGAACAUUUUUCUAACUGCGAUCUGAUAGUAGUCUUCUAGAGGAUCAAGCCCAGGUGAACAAUGUUUUAUGAUGUUUGAUUGCGACAAUAUUUGUAAAAAAUAAUUCAGAGCAAUACAAAUGGACAAAAAGAAAACUAUUACUUAAUGGGAACUGUCCAUGCAUCUACCUAAUUUCCUGCACCAUCUAACUAAUUUAAGUGGCUAUUUCCACUAUUUAAUUAGGCCCCUUUAGAACACACAGGAAAAGUAAAAGAAAGGAAUAGGAACAAUACAUUAUUUUGAUAGAAAUAUAUAUGAAAAAAAAGAAUUACAUACCAUUUUGAAACCUGCAGGAGAAACAUAGAAAUUUAAUGAGAGAUAGACUCAAAGAAAUUUUUUCUAAAAAAUUAUAGCUCUUGUUAAUUUUCCUCUGAAAUCUAUACGCAUUGAGCGUAAGGGGUUUCAUAUGAUUUGGAAAGCUCAAUAAUCCUUUGUUUCAAAGUGAUAAAUAGGAAAAUUUUCUAUAGGAUUAGAAUGCUACAAAAUUUUUGCAUAAAUUCUUUGUUUCAAAGGAGGCCUUAACUUCAACGGCCUAAAUACAUUUUUCACUAUUUCCACAGAGAUUUUAAUUCCUACAAGAACAAUAAAAGGGAAGAAAUAAAGAACAUCAUAUUUUCUUUUGAGGAAUACGCAAAAGGUAUUCGUAUCAUUGCAUCAAGACUUAUUCUGCUACUAUAUUUAUUUAUUUAGCAUAGCAGUUGGCAAUGCAGGUGCAGAAGUUGCACGGUUGUGUGCUUUGCAUAUACCCUUAAAAUGCACCACCAAAUCUGAUUAAUAAACGAAACCAAUGACGAUCACACCUACCUAACCCCAACUUUGGUACGACAAACAGCGUACAAGUUUUGAUGCCUCUGUCCGUUUAUUCAGUCUGAGAAGAAACUGAAUUAGACAUCAGGAAACCAUCAGCAUUCAGCAACUCCUUCCCUAAUUAAAGUAGACUUUCUAGAUGAACAAUCAGCACAUUAUUUAUGCAUGCUGGUAGAUUAAUUACUAAAAUUGCUGACAAAUGAUACCGAACCUUUUGCCAAAACGUGAACCACUGCAAUUCCCCAAAAGCCACUGAAAAGCUGUACUGUGCCUUGUAUUAGCCAAACUGAACUGGUAAACCUUAAAAAAAUAAGUUAAGGAGAAAACGAAAGCCGAUCUGAACUAUCGAAGUAUAUAAUGAAGGCAUUAGGUAUCUUGGCGUCACUCUGAAGAUAACAAAUUCAUGGGCGGUGAUAUGAUCUGAUCUCAGCAGAUAAAAAUUAUACGGUCUUACAGCCACAGACAGUUGUGCUUUGCGUCAGCAUGUGGUUACAAAAACUCGAAUUUUUAAUUUUGUGGUUAUGUAGCAUCCUAUUAUGGCCAGGACCAGUGUAUUGGUCAUGUCUUAUUUCAACGAGUUCGUUUUCACUACUCUACUUUUUUUUAGAAAAAAAUAAUUUUACUACUACCUUCAUGUUUAAAUAGACGAUGAUAUUAGUUUUUUGACGUUUGCUCAUUCGUUUUAUUAAGAAAUAUAUACAGAUUUAUAAAAGUAUUACAUAAAGUAUAUGUAAUAAUAAAACAAGUCACACCAAAAUAAUAGUACUUACAUUUUUCUCUAAUUUUUGAUAAAACAAAUAAUCCAACGUGCAUACAUAUCUAAAAGUUGACAACGUCAUAAACUUUUUUAAGAACCACUUAAGUGUAUCAACCGCAGAAAAACUCAGUUUGAUACACUAGGAUGGCUUGAUACUGAGUGUAUCAACUUUUUUAAAAAGUGUAUCAACCGCAGAUACUUGAGAAAAACGUCAUAUACUAGGAUGGCUUGGUGUCUUCUCAAGUAUCAUAAAAACUCAGUUUUAAGCAGGAGAGUAUACCUACGUACACCGCACCGGGUAGAUCAUGUAUAUUUCCUGUUCUUUUAUGUUCUUUUAGACUAUGUUAAUUAUUGCAAAAUCACUCAACAAUCAGACUAUUACUUGGAUAUACAAACCCAAGGUAUUUUUGUUGUAAGUUUGCCACUGUUCCCAAGUUAUCAAGUAUGAGCAGAAAACACUGUUGCUAAAAAGAAGAAAAAACAAUCAACCUCCAUACUGCUCUAAUGUUCUAUGGCCAGCACACAUAUCGGAUGACACCAGAAAUAAUCAUAGAGUAUUAGAAUAAUGAGGAUCACAGACAAAAACGUGCAAGGAGGCACGCAUCAAAGCGAGAUUGCAGAUGGACACCCUGUAGUGUCCCUGAAAAUGUCUCGUUUUCCCUGACAUGAGCUCAACUACUGCCUGGGCAUUGCUGCUUCUGCUCCUGCAAGCUGCAUGCUGAAAUGUACUAUAUGAGGAUGAUCACAUCUUCAUAUAUGCAUGGCUGUCCUGGAUCUAUUUGUUUAGUAGGAUGAUCCAUGGAAUUAAGAACUGGAAUUAUUGGAGAGGGAUUUCUAUACUGACUGAAUCUUUAUAUUCCAUCCAAUAUUUUCCAACAAGAUACAGUACCUGUAUAUUAUUAUAUCAUGAUUAUCCCUUGAUUUAUAUCUAAACCAAAUCACGCUUCCGUGUACAUCAUAAGCUGAAUCAUGACACGCAUGUUUCCUACAUAUGUCCACAAGGUAUCAGUAUUUCAGAAGGAAUUGCCUGGAAGAGAAACGACCAGAAUUAACGGGAGCUAUCUAGCAAAACAGAAAGAAAAGGCACUCAGCUAUCUCACCCUGCAAAAUUGCAUCAACAUCUCCAUCAAAAACAGGCCAAAAGAACAAGAAGAUGCUGGUGUCACCGUCAGUCUGUUCUUGGUGCACAAAUGGAACCACGUUUUCAUGCCACGUUGAAAGUGAAGCGACAUCGCCAUUUUCAGGAAAUACACCGCACUGCCAAAACUGACCACAAAGAAAAUUACAUCGCUUCUCUAGAGUAUUAAAAAGGAAAUAGAAAAGAGGAUAUCUGCAGGUAUUCUGCAUUAUUUUCCAACUUCCGAUAUGCCAAAAGUUUCUUCUUCUUUUUCCUUUGAAAAAAUUGGCUCUGUCAAAAGUUUUGGAGUGUAACUAAGGUCAUGUGCUGGCAACAACCGAAUAUAUUGUCUUGUGAUGUGAAGCGAGCAAAUCUUUUCUUUUUUUCCUUACCUGAAUAUUUUCUCAAGCUGCAUAAUGAACGUACAGGAUCAACAAUUCAACAUAGUGACGAUGCUUUUGGCUUUGGAGCUGUAUGUGCUAGUAAAACUUUUCAUAGUUGCGGUCAUUUUCGCAUCUUGUGCCUGUCAGUCGCGGUAGGUGCAGAAAGUACUCAGAUACUACGGUACUAGUGUUUGCAAAUUUUUACAAGUUAUCUUUAUGUGUACAUCUAAUUGAACCAUUGAGAUACCACUUCUUUUUUUUUAACAAAAGAAAAGAAUUUCUCGAAUGUGUCAUAAUUUUUUAUCCAUCUUAGUUCACAAUUUGCACAACUUGUGUAACAUACUAUCUGAGAGUCUUAUCAAGGCCGUACCCUACGGUGAUGAAUAUGGCUAGUUCAUUGCUUUUGAUCUAACGAAUUUUAUUAAGGGCAUCCUCAAUGUAUGUUUAUUAAGUGGGUAGUAAGGUGGGACCCACGAAACUAGGUUAUAAUUGUUUCUACCUCUUACAAUGUGUGGGAAGUAAGAUAUAACCCACAUGUAAAACAAUGAUUGGAUAGAAAAGAGAGUGAGAGAAUGAGAGAAGAGAGUUUAAUAUUUUUUUUAUGCUUGUUACCUGGUAGUAGUACUAUUGCCUGCUAUAGUUAUUACCUCCUCUACUACCCACCUCCACAAUGUUAAAGUAGGUAGUAAGGGGUCUUACUACCCACUUUUCAUCCACAUUGUUGAUGCCCUAAGUACUGUGAAAACGCCCUAUUUGUUACAAAGACAAUGAACACAAUCGUAGUGGUAGGUAGACAUGGUGCAUUUUUUUCAAAAAAAAGAGAAGAAAUUAUAGAUCCUGAUAUCUAUAUCUUUAAUAUACGUAUCCAAGCGUCGCCAUAAUAUGGCUUUCGAGUUUAUUGCACUGAGAACACCCAAGUCCGAAGUUGAUAUCACCCAUGGAAAAGAUAGCAACCGGUACUUCGAUUCAUAAAACCGCUUUCUACAUCUGUAUGGUACAGUGGAUAUACAGUGGAAGAUUAUUAUCUGCAAUAUGAUCUGGUGGCCACAAGUUGGAUGGCCCAAUCCAAUGCCAAGCUCCAACUUGUCUACGGAACUCGAAUAGACAUCUCAAUUAUUGGCCAUCGAAUGGAAUGGAGAUCGAUCCAUCGAUCGAACAUCUCACCUCUUGGCAUCGAUUCUUCCAUCUUCAGAGUAUGCACAUGCUCUGAUAUGCUCAUGAAGAAGUACUCACAAUCAUGGUAGUUACAUACAACCCAUGCUUCACCUGGAGAUCGAUUAAUCAGUAGCUUCUGUAGCUCUGUUCCUAUAGCAAAUUUUAACUUCAGUAAAGAAAAAAAAAACCAUCUCUGAACUUAAUUCUCUCGCUGAUGUCCAUGCAUAUGUACUUGAGUCUACAUGACAUUUCUCUGUCAUGAGAGACAAACAAACACAAAUGUACGGUGUGAGUACGGUGAUGCAUACUACACCCUGCUACGUACAAACAUGCCGUCACAGUUGACGAUCAGAGUGAACAGUUUGACUGAUCGACAGUAUUGCAACAAUCGUGCUCCAGGCCGUGUCUAAUCCUUGAACAGUAUUCGAGUAGUGAUCUGAUCUCAGAGACGGCAAAGAUUUGUCAUCUCAAGAGGGCGACAUGAACAAGGUACAUCACUAUUAUGUGUUUGUUGCUUUGGAAAAUCCGUAUCAUCAUACUAGUAAUACUACUGUACCCAUCUAAUCAGGUUAGCUGUACAUCUUAGAUCUUUUUCUUCUCGUCCUCUCUAAAAAAAAAAGAUCUCCUUUCUUUUUUGUCAUGAAAGUAGCUAUAGGUUUUUCAUGAUGGUCCAAUGACCAAAACCAAAAAAAGAGUACACUUGAUGGCGCCUUUUCCGCUUUUAAGUUUCAGCAAGUUGGGAGACGAAUGAAGCGUCCCCCGGUGAUCCGGUCCCCUUCUUAUCCCAUCACGAAUUCGCGCGUGGCCGGGUGACUCAUAGUCCACUCAAUGCUACCAAGGUUUAUUUUCUGAGUAAGGAUGCAGAUUCUAUUCUCAUUUUUAUUAGCACAUAAUUUAAACCGCUAAACAAUAUUUUUUUAAAAAACUUUCUAUCGAUAAAUUCAUUUUUUCAAAUUUAUAGUAAUAAUUAAAACUUAAUUAAUUACAUGCUAAUGUUUUUUUUAAUUCGUAUCCUAACUUCAUGCUAAGGUUAUCCUAAGAGACGCACUCGCUGUGUGCGGCCCAAACGAGCAGUCUUUUCGAUGUGGAGGUUUCAGAUAACCUUAGCGAGCUCUAAAGCGAAAUUUUUCAUAAAUACAAGUAUACAUAUAUGCUUUGCUUAUCUCGGUGGAGAAGUUGAUUCCAGCUUUGGUUUUGUGUGAUUUGGCGGCGAUCGAUCUCUGUCGGCCGGCUGGUCAGAUAGAUUAAUCCGGUAACGUUUUAGGUAUGUUUUGGAAUAAAGCGAGAGCACUAUCCUGCUAGCUUUAUGGAAGUGUGUUUAGUGUGGGUUAUUAAUUACAAGCUAAUGAUACUCCAGCUGAUUAAUCAGGGCCGGUUUGGUGCAGACAUAUCUCUGUCUAUCAGCUGCGACGUGUGAUGUGUAUAUACAUGCAAUGCUUUGGUUAAUUGCUUGUGUGGUCGAAUUAGUGGCUUGCUAAACCUCUUUUUUGUGGUGAAAGUGGCUCAUCAAUCUUUGGCUAUAGUACUGCUAGUGCUUUUGUUUUUGAUUGAUGUGCUACACAUGUUGAAUCCUCUGUUGGCUUUGGCUCAUGACUGUUUGGAAACGUCAUUUUUUUGCGACUUUCUGCAGUGCUUUUUCACUAGGUUUGAUUGCUGCGGUCGUGGAGGAAAAUGACAGCACAACGCAACACUGUGUUCCCUCAUUGUUUUUCAACUAAGGAGACAAUAGUACAGCGAUCAUGAUAGAACUACAGAUGUCACGGUUUGUGCUUAUAAAAUUGAUGACACGAGAUUUGGCCUGUCUGAGAUGCAUAGGAGCCCAGCCCAGAUAGCCCAUCAACCUGGCCCGAUCAUUCAGACCAAUUUGUUUUUUUUUUCUUCUACAUUUUACCCGGUCCCUACAUACAACCGAUAUAUGCAGCAUUUUUUAUAUACUCCUUUCGUCCCAUAAUAUAAGGGAUUUUGGAUGAAUGUGACAUAUCCUAUGUCUAGAUUCAUUGCACUAGGAUGUGUUAUAUCCACCCAAAAUCCCUUAUAUUAUAGGACGGAGGGAGUAUAUUGAAUUUAGUGCUUCAAACAACCCCUUGGAACUUAGUUACUCAAACAAUCCAAUCUGAAAUUCGAUCCUAUGAAGAUUUCAACUCAGGAUUUAGGGUGCUACUCAUGUCAUUGUAAUAAGAGAUCUUUUACGGUGUUUGCGAGGUAUUUAGAGGUGGAAUAAUGUGCACCGUUGAUCAAGAGAGGGGCAAGGUACGGAACAAAAUUAUUGUAACAUGAUGGCAUUUGAGUAAUUAACUAGUAAAACAUAGGCAAUACAUUUGAAUUGAAUACCUCCUUCCAUUGGUCGGUGUAUCGUAGUAGCUAUUGGUAUCGUUGUAGAGAAAAAAGUAAAUCAAGGAUACUCCGUUGAUUUAGGGAUUGAUUCGAUUAUAUCAAAAAGUAAAUCGUGUCUCCUUUCUUCUCUCCCUUUGGUUCGUUCGUGCUCUAGGGUUUGAACCAGUUCAUCUCCGACGUUGUCGCCAGCAGCGGAGCCACCUCCGCUGCCACCUAAAGUUCCUCCCAUCACCCACACCGGUGCCGGUGCGGCAGUGCAACCUGCGUCUCUCCCAUCGCUAGUGCCGGUGAAGGCCCGUACGUUGCCAUCUUCCUCUUCCCCAGGUUGGACAUGGCGCUAACGACCAGAUUAAUGGCACUCACCGGCUUGCCGCUAGACAUGGACGUGGAGACCAAAUCUGCAAGUGCAAUUCACGCAUGUGCUAUAGAUCUAUGGAAAUGUCCUCUCUUUGCAACUCCAUCUGCUUCGUUGGUCUUGCGAGAACUAGUUCAUGAGCAAGCAAAUGACCUAAAUGACGAUGACAUGGAUACUACUGAAGCUGGGAUUGGUGAUGAAAAUGAGGCUUUCAUAGAUGACGAAAAUGAAAAUUAUAUGGAUUUCGAGUACGUUCGUCACCAAUUGCUAGCCCAAGGCCAGAAACAUGUUAUAAGAACACAAUGUAAAUCUAAAGAAAAUCACGUAAAAGAGAACAUCAAACAAUACAAAGUAAAUCUAGAGAAAAUGAAUUAAGAACCUGUUACGCUAGUGCCGUGUAAAUGACCUAACUCAAACACAACGUAAAUCUACAGGAAAACCACGCAAAAGUGACACAAAUAAGAACAUGUAACGCUGGUACCAGGUAGAUGUUAACUCGUACAGUCGUACCUACUUAGUACCUAUUAUAAUUUGGGGGGGGGGGCAAUUUUACCCUUUUUGCUCUAUUAACAAAAUUAUAUUUUUAUCCUUAGUACCUAAGUAUCUAUACUAAUACUUAAAUACCUUUUAUAUAGUAUCUGUGAUUGAGAACUGUUGGAUCUUUACCUUUUUUGGAAUGCAAACACCGUAAAAGUUCUCUUGUACUAAACUAUAUGCCCUUUAGCAGACCAGCUGUUUUGGCCCGAUCAACUAAAUUUUUUGCAACUGGUCUAGUCUUAUUUACAACUCUUGACAGCAGUAGUACAUGGUAAACUAAGGUCAAUUUUGCUAUAUAUUUGUCAACAAAUUUUCUCCUAAAAAUUUGACGGAUGUUGUAAUUACACUAUAACUUAUAUGUAAUUACAUUGUAACUAUAAUGUAACUUGUAUGUAAUAUUCAAAAAUCUCUUCGUAACAUGUUAUUUCGGUAAAAUGGAGGUCGUGGGAACAAAUCUUCUCACAUAUGUGUGUGCUGUGAUUUUUUUUCUUCCUCAGCAGAACAAAUCUUGUAAGAGAUUUAACGAUUCAAAAUUACGUGAAACUUACAUACAAGUUACACUGUAGUUACAUGCAAGUUACAGUGUAAUUACAUACAAGUUAUAGUAUAAUUGCACUACGAUUGUAUUAUAAUUACACGUGUCAAAUUUUUAGGAGAAAAUUUGUCAACAAAUGUAUAGUUGAUCCCAACUAAGAUAAAGAGACCAGCUAUAGCUUAGGGCUAUGUGUAAUACAGCAGCGGGCACGCGUGGGACGUGCACGAAUCGGUCUCGAUCGCAUCUAGUAGGCACUACGCGGCAGAGCAGGGCGGCGAUCGACGCGCGGAAGAUGCGGCCAGUGGGAAUCGAUCAGCGGGGGAAGUGGAUGCUCUGACGUUAGUGUUCGCGGUGACGUUACUUCAUCGUGACUGACAUGUGGACCCCACCACUCUUGAGCCCACAUGUCAACCACCAAGUUAGUGGAAGUUACGUCAGAGGAUCUCAAUCCAUUGGCGGGGGUAGCGGGCUGGAGUGGUUGCUACCAAGCGUCGCCUUGCCAACACGCAGGUGAAUGACGUGCAAGGGAUGAACCAGACGAGGUCAUUGCUGAUGUCGACGAAGAGCGACAUGGAGCAGGCCGUGGACUGAGAGUGACAUCGUGUAGUUGCUUCCCGGCGCAAGAGCUGGCAGAAAUGGGGAAGAGAGGGGAGAGUGAAUGUGCAUCCCAGGUUAUUUAUUUAUUUAUUAGGAUGCCACAUCAGCUAAAACAUGUAUCUAUACGAGAAAAUAUAUAAUAUGUCACUGUAUAUGUGGGGGUUUCGAUGAAAUGCCAUUUAAUAGAAUGCACAGAAUAAAAUACCACUCAUUAUGUUGCCUAUCGGAGGAAAUACCACUUUGGGGGGGGGGGGUUUAAUCAUUUCUAUGCCCGAAAUGCCCCUGGCUAUGGGAGGGAGGGAGGGAGAGCGAGAGAGAGAGAGAGGAGCGCUGGGGACCGAGCGGGUAACACCAGAGGCCUCACAAGGUGGCGGCUGCGGGCGACAAGGUGGCAAGCGGGCGAAUGAGCGGUGGCGGGUACAACAGGGUAGAGAAAGAGGCGACGACAUGUAAAGAGGAGGAUGGGAUGGCGAGCGGUGAGCGUGCUCGCUGGGAAGCGGCAACAACGGGGGGAGGGAAGGGAGGAGGAGGAGGAGGAGACGACACGGGGGAGGAAAACAGAGUAGCAGUGCCUAAGUGGCUAUGGAGACAACGACCAUCUGAAGCUCCACCUCUGCCGCGGUGAUCUCGUCCUCAUCAUCGCCUACUCCUCCCUCUGCCCCGUUGUCCUCUCCACUGCCGUGUCCUCCUCCCCCCAUAUAUUGUCCCCACAAGCUCUAUCGCUUUCCAGCGAGACCUCUAGCGCCGCCGUCCCUAGUGCUCCCCUUUCCCCCUCUCUCUUCACAGCUAGGGACUUUUUGGUCAUAAAAAUGGUUAAAACUCUCCAAAGUGGUAUUUUUCAUCCAUUAGACUACGUACUGAGUGGUAUUUUAUCCGGUGUAUUCUAUUGAGUGGUAUUUCAUCGAAACCCCAUAUAUAGAGUGCAUAUUGUCCAUUUUCUCCUUAGGGCUUGAUUUGGAUGAUUUUGCUAGGUGAAGAUUUUUGGUAUUGUGAUUUAGGGAUGUCAAUUAAACAUGACGUAAAGAUGAGGGAUGAUAAGUGGACCUAUUCCAUGUACAAAUAAAGACCAUGGCCCACAUCUGUAUGUAUUGCUUGAGAUUUUUCAGAUACUAUGGCCCUGUUUGGUAGGGUUCGAAACUCCAACUCCAGUGAGAGCUGGCUCCUAUAAGAGCUGAGGUGGGUAUAGAAAAUGUUUGGCUAGACUACUCAGCUCUACACCACCACAUUCCUCGUCACCAUUUCAUGGCAACCUACCGUUGUCGCCGCCUGCGCACCGCGCCGCCUGGCAACCCGCGGGCCGCCGCCACCGGUCAUCCCACGUCCACCGCUGCCGGGUAGCCCGCGAGCCGCCGCCGCCAGUCAGCCCACGCCUGCCGCCUGUCGACGUUGCCACCUCGAGCUGCCGCCGCCGAUUAGCCUACGAGCCGGGCCGCAGCCUGUCGACGCCGCCGCCAUCGCCUGCUGCCCUCGCCAUCGCGUGCCGCCCACCGCCGCGUUCGCGGCCUGCCGCCACGACCGCGGCCCGUCGCCGUCCGCCGUCACUGCCUACUGCCGCCGACGCGACUCGGCCGCCGCCUGUCACCAUCGACACAGACGCAGGCGCUGCUACCACAUCCGGCCGUUUGAAGGAGGAUGGGGGAGGAGAGAGAAUGGGAGGAGAUGGGAUAGGAAGGGGUAGUUCAAUGGAAUUUCUGUGUAAAUACACUAAAAAAAUAAAAGGGUAGUGGGUUUUUGAGGUGCAGUGGAGCUGUGGAGCAGCAAAAAUUCAAUUCCACCCCUAUAGUACAAAUUUGUGGAGUAGCUUUGCUAACUCCGCUUCGAAAAAUAAAGAAUUUGUAUUGUUUGGCACAGCUCACAGCUCUUGGUAAGUUGGAGUUGGGAGAGCUACGCCAAAUGGAGCCUAUGUGCAUCUCUUAAUGUAUGACUAAAUCCAUAAAGUUAAGAAACAACUUAGAAAAAUUUAUCUAAGCAAUACCGAUGUACAAUUCUUUUGUAAGAAAUCUUGUUUUUGAAAGCAUAUCAAUAAUAAUCCACACCUCCAUUAAUUGGUAAAAUAUACUUGCAACUCACUCAGAAAACUGUCAUUCCAAAAUUCCAUCAGCUUUGUUAUAGAUCACCAAAAUCUUUAUUUGUCACUCUUGUGGAGGUUGAUGCCACCAAACUAUCACAACAAACCAUCGCCACCAAUCGGAGCGAAAAUAAUAGGAUGUUAACUAGCUAAAUCUAUAUGAAAAGUAAACAUAAAUGUUUGGUGCAAAUUUUUAAAAAUUGUAUACAUCCUGUUGGGUAUCGUACACUCAUCCACAUAUUAUUGAAUGAUUGUUGAAGAUACUCUAUCGAUUUAAGAAGGUUUUAUUAUUUCCCAACAAAAAAUUCAAUAAACAAUCAUAGAGCUUGCUGAAUAAGCAUUUUCUGAAUAAGAGAAUGUUAUAUUUGUUUCUCACCAAGAUCUCACACAAAAUAUAUAAGCUUUGAAAUUAGAACCCAUUACCAAACAGAUUUAAAAUUAGAACUCACCUAUGGCCGAAGAUUUAUAGUGUACCAAUAGCAGCAUAUUCCUAUACUUUUCCCUUGGUAUGAUUUUUUUUCAGUUCUAAGUUUUCACAUGCAAUUUGUGCGACGAGGAUGCACAAGCUGCGUGUCUCGUCAUGUUUUUUUUAGCCUGCCGGCAUUGCGACAUGGUCUUUAGUUUCUCAGGCGACUCGGCACGGACAGGCGGCGGUUUAGUUACAGCUGCUUGUCGGAUAAGGGUCCGAUCAGCUUUACUUUUACCUGAAAUUUUGCCUGAGCCAAAGACAGACGACUCAAAAAUUAACUAUGGGUAAUAUAAAAAACAAUCCAAGAGGUGCAAAUUUGAAUUUUUUUUUCUUAAAGAGAUGCUGAAACCUCAGAUAGUUGGUUUGUAUGGGCUUGUUCCAUACAUAAACGAUCGUUAGUGGCACGUAAUAGAAGAGUUACAGAGUAGUAGUAGUACUAUCAUUCACUGAGUAUAGUACAGAAAAUUGGUAGGAAGUAAUAUUAUUCAGCAGUACAGAGAAGUAUUUAUCGUGCGACGCUUACCAUAGAAGUGCAAACAGUAACCGUUACUUAGAGCAAUUGUGUGCUACCUCUAAAAAUGACACAUAGGAUUAGAUUAUGAGGUAGAGAAGAGAAGUGAGGAGAGAGAUGAGGAACCACCCCCAAAUCAAGAGGUAGCCUCCACACAAACUCCAAAAAAAAAUAUGAGAGUACUAAACGCAUUGAUAUUUGUUUAUUAGAGUGAAUGAAAUAAAUAAAUUAGGGAUAGCAAUAAUCACAUCUACUGUAGCACUUGCCAUCCGUAGAUCGAACAAAAAAAUACUACUACUGUUUUAUAAAGAAUAGGUUCAAUUCCCUUAAAACAAUCCUAUAAAAACGUACAUUUAUAACAUAUGAUAUAAUAUACGCUUGUUAAAAAAACUAGGAAGGUAACCCGCGCGAAUGCGCAGGUAAGUAUGUUUUUUUACACGCGUUUGACAAUUUGUCUUAUUUAACAUUUUUAUGCAAACAUGUGAAAAUGUAAGUCAUGCUUAAGUUAUAAAGCAAGUCACAUCAAAAUAAACUAAAUAUUAUUUAUUUUCAAUAUAAAUAAAUCAUCGAACUUGUACUGAAAAUUCAACAGCAUCAUCUAUCGAAAAUUGUACCUUUAAUAAUCGUACAAAUUUUUCAAAAAUAUUAUUUAUCGACAUUGUUUAUUUUUAAGCUUUUUGUUAGAUACACAUGUUUAUCAUGUUUAUAGAUCAAUACUCACUUUGUAAAGUAUAAGUAUAUUUGGAUUUGGUACGGUGUUUGAGAUACUGGAUUGUUUGCAAUUUAGAAAAAAAAUAUUUUAUAAAUAGACCCCUAGAAGAAUUAUUCCAGAAAUGAUAUUUUUUAUGUGCCAGAGUGGCUAGUGCUAUCAUCCAACAUGGCGGCGCGUCCCCAUGCAACUAUGGUACCGCGUGGCCGACCGUAGCUGACAUGGCAGGAGAAUGGCGCCGACCCCCUCCCCUUCAUAAGGCAUCAACGCCUCUGUGGCGCGCUCACCCUAAGGGGUGGGCAGCACUUAAUCCGCUCGGGCCCCACCCCCUCCCCCUCCC